AUUGUGUCUCAAUUGGCCCCGGAACCUCAAAUUUGUGGAUCGAAAAUGUUGCAUGUGGACCCGGUCAUGGAAUAAGGUAUGAAGUCAAAAUAUGCAUCUAUGAUUGAUAAAACUAACAAGCUGCCUAGUAUGCAAUAAUAUAUAUAUAUAUAUAUAUAUAUAUAUAUAUAUAUAUAUACUUCACAGAAUGUACAUAUUCGUUUGUGGGCUUUAUAUAUUUGUGAAUGUAACAUUUGUUUUGGUUGGUGGUUCAGCAUUGGGAGUCUAGGCAAGGAUCAACAAGAGGCUGGUGUGCAAAAUGUAACAGUUAAAACGGUUACUUUUACUGGUACCCAAAACGGUUUAAGGAUCAAGUCUUGGGGGAGGCCGAGCACUGGGUUUGCUAGGAACAUUCUUUUUCAACAUGCCGUAAUGAUCAAUGUCCAAAAUCCCAUUGUUAUCGACCAAAACUAUUGCCCUGAAAAAAAAGGGUGUCCUGGUCAGGUAAGAUAUCAACACAACGCCAUUUUCUUCGACAAAUAUAGCCAUCAAAUGAUUAUACAUGUCUAAUUUUAGAACGUACCAAAAGCAUUCAUAACCACUUGCUCUCAUUCGAUAAUUUUUGUGUUCGUUCAAGCAGGUUUCUGGAGUUCGAAUUAGCGAUGUGACAUACCAAGACAUCCACGGUUCAUCGGCAACAGAAGUUGCAGUUAAAUUUGACUGUAGUUCCAAGUACCCUUGCAGCAAGAUCAGAUUGGAGAAUGUGAAACUUACUUAUAAGAACCAAGUUGCUGUAGCUACAUGUAGCCAUGCAGGUGGAACAGCUGCGGGCAUGGUUCAACCUACAAGUUGUUUGUAGAGGGCAAAUACAAAUUUUUGUAUUAAGUCUGAAUCAUCGUGAAUCACAUAGAAGGAAAUUUAAAAUUUUGUCUCUAGAACAAUGGACAAAAAGAAGUAGAAUUGUACGAAAUUAUAGGGAAAUUUUAGUGUUAGGUCAAUGAAAUUGAAGUCAUUGCUUUAUCCUGUGGCGUUGGAAGCACAUUAUUGGUCUUCCUUUGAGCCUGGUCUUGUAAUCAGCUAAUUUCUCCAAACCCCUCGAAUUCGAUGGGUGUUUGUAUCAUGGAGUAUGAAGAUGCAUUUCUAUUUUUCAUUUCUAGCUUUUUAUGAUAUGAUUAAAUAAAAGGAUAAACCGUAUCGAAGUGCAAGGAACAAAUGAAAUUGACCUUCUUCCUAAAAAAUAUAUAUAACUUGUUCUGUUCUCUAAAACCUCUUCCGAGAACUACGACUACAAGCCAAGUCGGAAGCGACUCGCUUCUAUUCUCAUCGGAACUAUGACUAAAACCUCUUCCAAGAACUAUGGCGGGGUAUGCAUGCGAUGCCGGUUUUCCAAUCCCCAGUCUCAUUGAAAAGACCCUCUAUAUUUGAAAGUGCAAGGAACCAUUCUUCUAUAUAACAUUUUCCCAUCACAGUAUUUUGUUACAAAUUCGACAUUGUAUCUCCUUGUUAUAAGCAUAACCCUUAUUUCCAUAUUUCCUGCGCACAAUCAAAAUUAUAUAGAUUAGUAUAGUUUUUACCAUGCACUAUUAUAACCACUAGAGCCAUGACUAUCGAAAAAUCUUGUACCAACAAAACUGUUGGUGUAUAAGUGUGGCUGCUGAAAUGCAAUUAGAAUAGGAAGGUUCUAUUUUGGUUAGAAAGGCUGCGUUGGCUCAUAGUAAAAGUGUACAGCAGAGAAUGUAAUAGCUUAUGCCACUUGUCAUUAUCUCAUAGGGUAAUGAUUAAAUGGCUAAGAUUGAGUGAUGUAAUAGGGAAUAUUUCUUCUCUAACGGUUUUGUCAGGGUCACAAUAUAUGCAUGAUUUUGGUGCUGAGCUAAUUCAUAUAGCCAGCUUCUUCUCCAAGCUCUCUCUCUAUUCUCUAAAACUCUCUGCAUUUUCUUUGAAACCUAUUACAUGUUUGAUUGAAUUAAUAUGCAAGAUAAUGGUCUGCAUAUUCUAACAUGGCCUCAGAGCCAGGUUUGAUCAAGUAAUACUGGGCGUUUUUUCUGUGCUAAGCUAUUGAAGUUGCAACUGAGCUUGAGUUCUGCAGAUCUGAGUCUAACAUGGCUGGGUCAAGUGGUGGUGAAUUGAGAGCACCAAUUUUCAAUGGUGAGAACUACGAUUUCUGGAGCAUAAGGAUGAAGACCAUCUUCAAAUCUCAUGGACUGUGGGAUUUGGUAAUAAAAGGAUUUGAUGGUACGGAUCUGAAGAAGUCAGAUGAAUCUGAUGAUAAGAAAAAGGAGACAGAAGAAUCAAGUGAGAAAGGCAUGGUUGCUGAGGUACUCAUGAAGGAUACUAAGGCUCUUGGAUUGAUUCAAGGAGCAGUUUCAGAAGAGAUAUUCCCACGAAUCUCUCAUGAAGAAACAUCAAAAGGUGCCUGGAGUAUUCUGCAGCAAGAAUUCCAUGGAGAUAAGCAGGUAAGGAGUGUUAAAUCGCAAGGUCUUAAAAGAGAAUUUGAAUAUACAAGAACGAAGGAUGAUGAAUCCUUAACUGCCUAUGUUACUAAACUAUUUGAUUUGAUAAAUCAAAUGAGAAGUUAUGGGGAGGAAUUGCCUAGGGAGAGAAUUGUUCAAAAACUGCUUAUUAGUCUGCCAUCUACCUAUGACUCUAUCUGUUCAGUUAUUGAACACUCUAGAGAUCUGAAAGAGAUUGAGGUGCAGGAGGUUGUAGCCUCACUAAAGAGCUUUGAGUUGCGUUUAGAUAGGCAUUCUGAAAACAGAACAGAGAAGGCAUAUUUGCGAGCCUUAGUGUAGAUGCCAAACAGACUAAAACUGGAGAACAGAACAGCAAGCAAAAUAAGAAUUGGAAAUCCAAAGGCAAGAAGUGGGAUAACAAGGCAAGUGAAGGCACUAAAACUCCCUGCAAGCACUGUGGUAAGCUACAUUUUGGUGAAUGUCGAUUCGAGGGCAAGCCAAAGUGUUAUAACUGUGAUAAGCUUGGCCACAUUGCAAAAGACUGCUACAGCAAGAAAACACCACAGCAGGUCAACUAUGCUACUCAAGUGGAAGCUACACCAACAAUGUUCUAUGCUAGCAAUGCAAGUGGUGCUGGUGUAACAAGGGAUGAAGAGAUCUGGUAUUUGGACAGUGGGUGUAGUAAUCACAUGACAGGAAAAGAGGAUUUGCUGGUGGAUAUUGACAGAAAUGUGACUGCCAAGGUUGAAAUGGGAACUGGACAGCUUGUAGAGGUAACUGGAAAAGGCACUCUUGUGGUUGAAACCAAAGUAGGCAAGAGACAUAUCAAAGAAAUAAUGCUUGUACCUGGACUGAAAGAGAACUUACUCCGUGUGGGACAGAUGAUAGAGCAUGGCUACUAUUUGGUAUUUGGAGAUCACAAGGUGGAAAUCUACAAUGACAGCUCUCAUACAAAUCUGGUGGCAAAAGUUCAGAUGAAAGGAAAUAGAAGCUUUCCUUUGAAAUUGCAGGCUGAAAUGCACUUAGCUUAUAGAGCAGGUGUAGACCAUUCCACUGACCUCUGGCAUAGAAUAUUUGGAAAUCUCAAUAUGAGUAGUCUGAAACUGUUGAAAGAGCAAGAUAUGGUAGUAGGGCUGCCAGAAAUUAAAGAAGUUAAAGAGGUUUGUGAGGGUUGUGUUCUAGGUAAGCAGAGUAGAGAAGCAUUUCCAAGAGAAGCUACCACUAGAGCAUCAACUCCACUAGAACUUAUUCACAGUGACAUCUGUGGUCCUAUGCAGACAGUUACCAAAGCUGAAAAUAGGUUUUUUCUCACUUUCAUUGACGAUUGCACAAGGAUGUGUUGGGUUUAUUUCUUAAGGCACAAGUCAGAAGCUCUAAAUGUGUUUAAGAAAUUCAAAGCCACUGUGGAAUUGCAAAGUGGUUACAAACUAAAAAAAUUGAGAAGUGACAGAGGGGGAGAAUACACUUCAGUGGAGUUUGACAGGUUCUGUGAUAAUGCAGGCAUUGAAAGGCAGCUUACAACUCCAUACACACCACAGCAAAAUGGUGUGGCAGAGAGGAAGAAUAGAACUAUAGUAGAAAUGGCCAAGUGUUUGCUGUUGGAGAAGAAAAUUUCAUUUGACUUCUGGGCUGAGGCAGUCAACAUAUCUGUGUAUAUUUUGAAUAGGUGUCCAACACUACUACAUUUUACACUUUGCGCGACGAAGAGAAUUUCGUCGCGCAAAAUACAUUGUAGUCGCACAAAUUUCAGCGCGACAGAAACUUCGUCGCGCAAAGAUCGUGAAGAAAGACUUUGCGCGACGAAGUUUUUUCAUUGGUCACGCAAAGUGACUUUGCGCGACGAAAAAAUAUUGGUCGCGCAAAGCGACUUUGCGCGACGAAAAGAUUGGUCACUCAAAGUGACUUUGCGCGACGAAAAAUAUUGGUAACGCAAAGUUGUGCACGACGAAAUACAUUGGUUGCGCAAAGUUUAAAAAAAAUUUAAAAAAAAUAAAAAAUUUCCGCGUCCAAUUUUUGGUACCUGCCCAAAUUUUUUGAGUUUUGCGCGACGAAUAUUAACGUCGCGCAAAUAUUUGCGCGACGAAAUAUUUUUUGUUUUAAAUUUUUUUAAUUUAAAAUAAACUAAUUUAAUAGUUUGCGCUACGAAAUAUUUUGUCGUGCAAGGUUUUUGACUUUUUGUUUUAUUAUUUCUUUAAUAUGAAUUUAUUUAUAUGAAUUUUUUCAAAUUUUUACUUUUUAAAUUUAAUUUAAUUGUAUGAUUUCUUUUUAAAAUUACUUUAAUUUAAAUUGAUAUUAAUUUUUACUUUUUAAAUUUAAUUUAAUUGUAUGAUUUUUUUAAUUACUUUAAUUUAAAUUGACAUAUUCAAAAUAAAAUUACAUAUGAAAAAUAGUGAUUAAAUUAUCCAAUAAAUAUAUAUAUAUAUAUAAUAUUCAAAAUGUACACAUAAAUUAACAAAGUACAAUAAUAAAAUCCUAAUACAAGCGUAUUGUGGUGGUAGUGGCGGAGGAUAUGUUUUGAUAGCUUCCUAAUCCUCAACUUUAGCCGUCAAAGUCUCGAUGAUUCCCUAGAAAAAAAACAAAUAUGGUUAAAUAACCACAAAAAAAAAAAAAGAAAAAAAAAAGGCAUAAUCUCCCCUAAAAUUGUUAUACCACAAAUCCAACCCAAACUCCAAUCCCUCCCCUUUACUCAACCCCAAAACCCACACAAACUCAAAAUUAACUCCAAAAACACAUAUUAAUGAAAAAAAUUUAAAAUUUGGAGAGAAUAUACCUUUUGGCAAGAUUGAGAGUGAAUGAGAAUGAGAGGGAGAAGUGAGUGUGAGAGAAUUAGAGAAGAUAGUGAUAGAGAGAUGAGAGAGUGAGUGAGAGAGAUGAGAGAGUGAGAGAUAGUGAAGAGAGAGAUGAGAGAUUAAGUGAGAGGAGUGAGUGAGAGAAUGGUGGGAUUUGGGGAGAGGGAAAGAGAAAGGAGAGGUAAGAGUAGAGAAAGGCAUUGAGAAAAUGGUGGAGGAGUUAUUUCGGUUUUAAAAAUUGUAUCACUUUGCGCGACGAAAAAUAUUGUUGGUCGCGCAAAGGUUUGCGCGACGAAAAAUAUUGGAAUAUUGAUUGCGCAAACUUUUGCGCGACGAAACGUAUUGGUCGCGCAAAGUUUUGCGCAACGAAACAUAUUGGUCGCGCAAAGUCUAAAAAAAUUAUUUAAAAAAAAUAAAAAUCCCCGCGUCCCAUUUUUGGUACCCGCCAAAAUUUUUAAAUUUUUGCGCGACGAAUAUAGGAAUAUUGGUCGCGCAAAGUCUAACAAAAUUAUUUUAAAAAAAAUAAAAAUCCCCGCGUCCCAUUUUUGGCAUCUACCAAAAUUUUUAAAUUUUUGAGCGACGAAUAUAGGAAUAUUGGUCGCGCAAAGUCUAAAAAAAUUAUUUAAAAAAAAUAAAAAUCCCCGCGUCCCAUUUUUGGUAUCCGCCAAAAUUUUUAAAUUUUUGCGCGACGAAUAUAGGAAUAUUGGUCGCGCAAAGUCUAAAAAAAUUAUUUAAAAAAAAUAAAAAUCCCCGCGUCCCAUUUUUGAUACCCGCCAAAAUUUUUAAAUUUUUGCGCGACGAAAAAUACAUAUUGGUCGCGCAAAGUCUAAAAAAAUUAUUUAAAAAAAUAAAAAUCCCCGCGUCCCAUUUUUGGUACCCGCCAAAAUUUUUAAAUUUUUGCGCGACGAAAAAUACAUACUGGUCGCGCAAAGUCUAAAAAAAUUCACAUGUCCGAUUUUUGGUACCCGCCCAAAUUUUUGCGAGACGAAAAAUAUAUAUUGGUCGCGCAAAGUUUUGAGCGACAAAAAAUAUUGGUCGCGCAAAGUCUAAAAUUUUUUUUUUUUUUUUUAAAAUCCCGCAUCCCAUUUUUGGUACCCGUCCAAAUUUUUAGAGUUUUGCGCGACAAACUGUUGGUUGUGCAAACUUUUGAGAGACGAAAAAUUGGUUCAUAACACAAUAUUUAUAAAAAUAAUUGUUAUGAAUAAUAAAAAUAAAAUAAUUUUAUUUUACAAUUUCAAAUAUAAAUAAGGUUAAAGCUGCUUAAUAAAUAUAUAUACUAUUCAAUUUCUUAAGUGUUAUACGUACAAAAUAAAUAAAUUUAAAGCUACUUAAUAAAUAAAUAUAUAUACACACCCCAUUCAACGAUCCAACCGUCAGACUUAUUUGUAUAUACUUCAAGAUCGUAUACCCCAAAAAUCGCAAAAAACAAACAUUCAGAGAUCUAGUAACGGGACAAAACUUUUCGAUGGUUAUAAAUGAAAAAUUACGAUUUAACGGUUAUUUUAACUCCGAUUUUGAUGAUUUUUUUUUACAGCUACACUCCUUGACCAUAUAUGAAUACAAUGACUGAAUUUGAUCUUCAAUUUAAAAUAUUUACACUAGUGGAUACCACAAAAUCUUAUGUUAUAUCUAACGAACGUAUAAAUAACCUCUUAAUUGUUAGUGAAUAUAUUGUUUUGAUAGCAUAUGCAUUCACCAAAACUAGUUUCAACGAUCCAACCGUCAAACUUGUUUGUUUAUACUUCGAGAUCAUAUACGCCAAAAAUCGGAAAAAAUAAACAUUCAGAGAUCAAGUAAUGGGACAAAACUUUUCGACGGUUAUAAUGAAAAAUCACGAUUUAACGGUUAUUUUAACUCCGAUUUUGAUGAUUUUUUACAGCUACACUCCUUGACCCUAUAUGAAUACAAUGACUGAAUUUGAUCUUCAAUUUAAAAUAUUUACACUAGUGGAUACCACAAAAUCUUAUGUUAUAUUUAACGAACGUAUAAAUAAACUCUUAAUUGUUAGUGAAUAUAUUGUUUUGAUGGCAUAUGCAUUCACCAAAACUAGUUUCAACGAUCCAACCGUCAAACUUGUUUGUUUAUACUUCGAGAUCAUAUACGCCAAAAAUCGGAAAAAAUAAACAUUCAGAGAUCAAGUAAUGGGACAAAACUUUUCGACGGUUAUAAUAAAAAAUCACGAUUUAAUGGUUAUUUUAACUCCGAUUUUGAUUAUUUUUUACAGCUACACUCCUUGACCCUAUAUGAAUACAAUGAACUAAUUCGAUCGUCAAUUUAAAAUAUAUAUUUUCUAACAAAAACCCAAUCUAAACAACAAUAAUAUAUUUUUCUAACAAAAAUCCGAUCCGAUCUAAAAUAAUAAAUUUAAAGCUACUUAAUAAAUAUAUAUACUGUUUAAUUUCUUAAGUGUAAUGCAUACAAAAUAAAAAACAAAAAUAAAUUAGUUUUGGCGACGAAAUGUUUGGAUUACGUCAUGCAAAGAUUUUAAAAUAUAUAUAUUUUAUUUUUAUAAGGACUUUGCGCGACGAAGUUUAUUGUUUCGUCGCGCAAAGUCACUUUGAGCGACGAUAUAUUGUUGUCGCGCAAAGUUACUUUGUGUGACGAAUUUUUUUUCGUCGCGCAAAAUUUGGUCGCGCAAGACUUUGAGCGACGAUGUAUUGUCGUCGCGCAAAAGUUUGUCGCGCGAAGUGACUUUGCGCUACAAAUUGUUUUUCGUCGCGCAAAAUUUGGUCGCGCAAGACUUUGAGCGACGAAGUUUUGAGUUUCGUCGCGCAAAAUGACUUUGAGCGACGAAUAGUUUUUCGUCGCGCAAGGGGUUUUUUUUACUAGUGCAACUAAAGCCUUGAGUAAAAGGACACCAUUUGAGGCUUAUAGUGGGAGGAAACCAGGAGUUAAGCAUCUAAAGGUAUUUGGUUCAUUGUGUUAUGCUCAUGUACCAAAACAGCAAAGACAGAAACUAGAUUUGGCAAGCAAGAGGUGUAUUUUUCUGGGGUAUGGCAGCUGUGAGAAAGGAUACAGGCUGUACAAUAUUGAAACUGGAAAAGUAAUUGUUUCAAGAGAUGUGAUAUUUAGUGAAAAUGAGUGUUGGGAUUGGAAUGCAAAGAAGGAAACUAGUGUGAACAUUCAGCUCACUGAAAUCAGAGAAGAAGAAUAAGGAGCAGAAGGGAGUUCUUGUGAAUUUGAAGAACAAUUGGAAGUGAAUGAGAUGCCUAGCUUAAACACUGAAACCAGUGACCUAGAAAGGGUCACAGGAUCACAGGAUGUUGAUCAUACUCCUCUCAAGUACAAGAGCAUUGCAGAAAUUUAUGAAAAAUGCAACAUGUGCAUUAUAGAACCAGAAAGUUUUGAAGAGGCAGCAAAGGAUGACUCUUGGAAGAAAGCAAUGGAAGAUGAAAUCACCAUGAUUGAAAAGAACAAUACAUGGGAGCUUGUGGAUAGACCAUUUGAUAAACCAAUCAUUGGAAUCAAAUGGGUCUAUAAGACUAAACUGAACCUAGAUGGAUCUGUGCAGAAGAAUAAGGCUCGGCUGCAAAGGGAUAUUCUCAAAAGCCUGGAAUAGACUUCAAUGAGACCUUUGCACCAGUGGCUUGGCUUGAUACUGUAAGAACCUUGGUGGCUGUAGCUGCACAGAGAAACUGGAGAUUGUUUCAGCUGGAUGUAAAGUCAGCAUUUCUUAAUGGAGUGCUAAAUGAAGAAGUGUAUGUGGAUCAACCAUCUGGCUUUGUGAUACAAGGAAGUGAAGAUAAGGUGUAUAAGCUGAAAAAGGCCUUAUAUGGUUUGAAACAAGCUCCAAGAGCUUGGUAUGAAGAGAUAAAUUCCUAUUUCAUCAAAACUGGUUUUUAUAGAAGUCCAAGUGAAGCUACAUUGUACACUAAGAUGUCUACAAGUGGUAAUCUCAUUGUGUCCCUAUAUGUAGAUGAUAUUAUCUACACAGGAAGUUCAGAAGAAAUGAUGGCUGCAUUCAAGAAUGAUAUGAUGAGACAAUAUGAAAUGACUGACCUAGGACUGCUUCAUCACUUCCUUGGUCUUGGAGUCCUGCAAACUGAUACUUGCAUCUUCCUACACCAGAAGAAGUAUGCAAAGACCUUACUUGACAAGUUUGGACUUAAGGAUUGCAAGUCUGUUGCAACACCACUGGCAGUGAAUGAAAAGUUGUCAAAAGUGGAUGGAAGUGAACUAGCAGAUGAGACUUUGUAUAGGCAAAUGGUGGGAAGCUUGCUCUACCUGACUGCAACCAGACCAGAUAUCAUGUUUGCAGCAAGCCUCUUGGCUAGAUUCAUGCAUAAUCCAACCAAGAAGCACAUGGGAACAGCAAAGAGAGUGUUGAGAUAUAUUCAAGGCACUAUAAGCUAUGGAAUUGCUUAUGAGAAGGGAAAAGGAGCAGUGCUAAUAGGUUACUGUGACAGUGAUUGGAGUGGAAGUGAAGAUGACAUGAGGAGCACAUCAGGCUAUGCAUUCAACUUGGGGUCAGGUGUAUUUUCUUGGGUCUCAAUCAAGCAAAGCAGUGUUGCUCUGUCAACAGCAUAAGCUGAGUACAUGAGUGCAGCAGAAGCUACUGCACAAGCUAUGUGGCUGAGGUUUGUGUUAUCAGAUUUUGGAGAGGAACAGGUAGAACCAACUCAGUUGUUGUGUGACAACACUUCAGCUAUUGCUAUAUCAAAGAAUCAUGUUCAUCAUCACAAAACCAGACACAUCAACCGCAGGUUUCACUUCAUAAGAGAUGCUCUUCAAAAUGGUGAGAUCGAUUUGCUAUAUUGCAAAACUGAAGAGCAGCUUGCUGACAUUUUCACCAAGUCUUUAGCAAGAGAUAGAUUUGAGUAUUUGAGGAAAGCUCUAGGAGUUAUUUCAGCACAACACUUAUAAGGGAGUGUUGGUGUAUAAGUGUGGCUGCUGAAAUGCAAAUAGGAAGGUUCUAUUUUGGUUAGAAAGGCUGCGUUGGAUCAUAGUCCAAGUGUACAGUAGAGAAUGUAAUAGCUUAUGCCACUUGUCAUUAUCUCAUAGGGUAAUGAUUAAAUGGCUAAGAUUGAGUGAUGUAAUAGGGAAUAUUUCUUCUCUAACGGUUUUGUCAGAGUCACAAUAUCUGCAUGAUUUUUGUGCUGAGCUAAUUCAUAUAGCCAGCUUCUUCUCCAAGCUCUCUCUCUAUUCUCUAAAACUCUCUGCAUUUUCUUUGAAACCUAUUACAUGUUUGAUUGAAUUAAUAUGCAAGAUAAUGGUCUGCAUAUUCUAACACUAGAGCCAUGUCUAUUGAAAAAUCUUGUACCAACAAAACCAUAGCAAUCUUGAGAUCCAAGAUUUGACUGAGAAAUCACUGUUGGAACCAGAGAUCAAUGGGGCAAUAGAUGAAUGAGCUUGUUGAAAGAACCAGGACCAACAUGAAUCUUCCAAGAAGAAGAUUCUUCACUAUUAUCAUGGCAGACAGGGAGUGUGUAAGAGAUCACAAAGCCUUUUGUUCAACAGUUUUCUCUGCAGCCGACAGCUGAUAACGAAAUUCUUUCAGCGCAACUGGAGUCUCAAGUGACAGUAACAGAUCAUGUCAUACUUCGUACUUAGGCAAGCCAUGCAAGGGAAGUGAGCAAUAAUCACAUCCUCAUAGGAAAUCUUCAGACCAGAAGCUUUAAGGUCAUCUCUAGCAUUCUUAAUGCGCAGUAAGUACUACUCUGGCACCUUUGAAUUCAAUGCAACCGUGUCUUAUGACGAUUUAUACUAGCUAUCACAAGACGUUGUAACAUAUCUAUCAAUCAGAUUCUUUACCGCAUUACACAAGGUCCUACCACCACAAAUAUACUGCAGUCACCAUUAGUCAAAUGUAGCAAGCAAUAAACUGAGUAAUGCCUUAUUCUGUUUUCAUCCAGGACUUAAAGGCCUCAGUAAUGACAGACUUAGAAGACAAAACUUUGAACAAUCAAAAUAGCCAAAAAAAUCAUUGCCUUUGAGAACAUAUAUUGAAACAGAUAACUCCACUUGAUAAACGUGCCUAUCAUUGAGGGGAAGCAACCCCAUCAAACAAUCAAUAUCAGUUUGUGUACACAUCAGCUUAACAAUGCUCACAAAAUUGAUAAGUCCAUAAAUUUAAACAUUUAUGUACUCUUUAUACUUAGUUUUUGUAGGAGAAUUUGAUUUACAAAUGACUUAUGACUUCAUUUUCUCAAUUUUCAGCUUUUUGGAGCAAGUAAUUGGUUUUCAACGGAAAAAUGACUUUUUGGUGGAGUUUUAGUACAAGACCAGAUAGAGAUGAAAGCUAAGAUGUCACAUCUCGGGAUUGGCUCCGUCGUAGCACGAUAUUGUCCACUUUGGGCCCCCCCUCUCUACCCUCACGGUUUGGUUUCUGAGAACUCACGAGCAACUUCCCAGUGGGUCACCCAUCAUGGGAUUGCUCUAGCCCCAACUCGCUUAACUUUGGAGUUCCCAUGACUCCGAAGUCAGGGAGCUCCCAAAAGGCCUCGUGUUAGAUGGAGGCGGGCACGUACAUAUAAGACGUAUCACCCCCUCUCCGUUGGUCGAUGUGAGAUGUUACAAUCCACCCCUAUUAGAGGCCCGACGUCUUCAUUGCCACACUCACACCACACGGCAGAGUGACUCUGAUACCAAAUAGUCACAUCCCGGGAUCGGCUCCGCCGUAGCACGAUAUUGUCCGCUUUGAGCCCCCCUCUCUGCCCUCAUGGUUUUGUUUCUAGGAACUCACGAGCAACUUCCCAGUGGAUCACCCAUCCUGGGAUUGCUCUAGCCCCAACUCGCUUAACUUCGGAGUUCCCAUGACUCCGAAGUCAAUGAGCUCCCAAAAAGCCUCGUGCUAGAUGAAGGUGGGCAUGUACAUAUAAGGCAUAUCACCCCCUCUCCGUUGGUCGAUGUGGAAUGUUACAUAAGAUCUUGAAGAUGAUUGUGGAAUUUUUCUAGAAUUUUCGGAGCAUCCAAUGAGAGCAGUCUUUGAAGUUAAAUCAGCAUAAGAUGCAAUCCCAUCAAAACUGUGCUACUGUGGAAGAAUGAUUAUUUGAAGACUUUUAUGAUUUUUCGUCAAGAUGUGCAAUAUAUGGCUGGAAAGAUAAGACAAUGACCUACAAUUUACAUAUUUUUUCCAAAUUUUCUUGGAGGAGGAAUGAUUCCAAACGUGCGUGCAAAAUAACUAACGUGUUAUCCUAGUGAAAGUAGGAAAAGGAGUCAAUUACUUACCCAUUUUGGAUUUAUGUUUUAAUUAGGUUUUUAUUUAUUUUUGGGUUGUUGUAAAAGGCCAGCUAGGGUAGGAAUAGACGUGUGGUGUUUUAUUUAAGCAUGAGAAACAACUCCUUUGGGAGGACCCAAAGACUAGGAGAAAUUGGAGAAGCCGGAAGAGUACCACAAUUGGCUAAGUUUUAUUGUUUCUUCUUUAUGCUUUUGUUUAUAUCGAAUUCUAUGAUUAUGUGUAACUAAUUUUCUUUUGCUAGGGCAUGAUGUAGCCCUAGUAUGAUAAUUUAUUUUUCUUAUUUUACCUAUCUAUUGAUUGCCAUUUGAUGUUGGAUUCUUAAUCAUUGUGCUUAAUACCUUAGUUGAUUAUCUUGAUGAUUGAUCAUCAUCUAGACUUUUAAUUGAGUUAAUUGGAUGCAAAUUAGAGUAAAUACCGUACUUAAUUUGUGGCUUGCUUCUUGUGAUUAAGAUUUGUAAUUCGUUUAGGGUAAAUACCAUACUCCUAGGGUUUACAUGCUUGUUGGAGGUUUUCACUGGUCUUAGUGAGUUUCUAUGUGUUGAUAUUUGACCUAAAUAACAUAGGCGAAUUGCAUGUAGGAAUAUACGAGUUAGCCUAAAUACCAUAGGUAAUUCAUGAAAAAUGAAAACUAGGCGGCGACAUCAAAUGGUUAGUUAAUAGGUAGGUGAAUAAGAGGCUAGAUCGGAUUACUAGUGGUGAAUUCAUUGUCCUAGUGCUUUUAUCAAUUUGAAUUUCUCACCCUUGUGUUUCAUGACUUUCUACUUGUUUUGUCUUUUAAUGUUGUAAAUUAAAUCAUUCUUUCAAAAACCCCUUUUGUGUUUACGUGAGUAUGCUACAUGUUUAAUUUCUUGUUUAUAUAAUUAGAGUAGUUAAAGUAUUUUGUGAAGUAAAUUAGGUUAGACUAAUUGGAAGUUGAACUCAAUCCUCGUGGGAAUGACCUCAUAUUUUCCAUACUAUAUUACGAUUGACCUGGUACACUUGCGAGUAUAAUUUGUGUUUAGACUAAUCUUUAUAAUCUCCUUUUUUCAGGUUGUCUAAAAUUCACAACAAGUUUUUGGCGCCGUUGCCGGGGAUUGGCUUCAUCAAAUACGAUUUAGUUCAAUCUAAAUUUAGCUUUUCAGUUUUUUUUUUUUUUUUUUUUUUUUUUAUAAAAAAAAGUUCAUUUUUGUUUUCUUAGUUUUAUUUUAUUUAUUUCGUUUUUUUUUAAAUUUUACUUGAAAAUUUAAAUUGGAAUUGAUUUGUGUUUCUUGUUUGUCUUGUGUAUAGGUUCGGCUUAGUGUAUGACUAGUAGACUCUCUCAAGGUCAAGACCUCAUAUUGUUUGAUCCUAAGAUUGAGAGAACAGUUGAGCAUCAAGAAGACAAAGGUCUCGUUGAAAAUAUAAACGAGAAGAGUGACAAGAACGUUGGGGAACAACAAUUAGAGCAAGAGGAAGCAAUGGAACGAGCACCACCUGCUCGAGCUCUGAAGGAGUACUCCAUCCAAUACUCCAUCAUGUAUUGUAGUACCAAAAGUCGAAGCAAAUUCAUUUGAACUCAAAUCCGGAAUGAUUCACUUGUUACCAUCUUUCUGUGGCAAGUCGAGCGAAGAUCCUAACAUGUAUAUUCGGGAAUUUUUUGACAUUUAUGGUACCAUCAAGAUCCUAAAUGUCUCUGAAGAAGUAGUUAGGCUGAAAUUGUUCCCGUUUUCAUUAAAGGAUAGAGCCAAAGCUUGGCUUCACUCACUACUAGCUGAAUCCAUUAAUUCAUUGGAGGGAUUAGCUCAAAAAUUUCUCUAGAAAUUCUUCCCUGUGCCAAAAAUGAAUUAGCUUAGAAGAGAUAUAAUGCAUUUUACUCAAGGAGAGCAUGAGCCAUUCUAUGAAGCUUGGGAGAGAUUUAGAGAGUUGCUGCAAAAAUGCCCUCAUCAUGGCAUUAUUGAUUGGAUACAGAUGCACUUAUUUUAUGAAGGACUUACGACUGCAAACAAACGAAUGGUUGACUCUGCAUGUGGAGGUGCAUUGAUGGAGAAGAGACUUUAAGAAGCGUUUGAUCAAUUUGAUUUGCUUGCUAAUAAUAAUCAACAAUGGGGCAGUGAGCAGACAAAGAAGGCAGGAGUUCAUGAAGUCAACACCAACACUACGUUUGCUACUUAAAUUUCAAGCCUUGAGAAAAAACUUGAAACUCUUAUGUGUGCUGUUAUUCCACCUUCCCCACAACAAGUUUGCACCAUUGUUCUGACCCUACUCAUUCAAUGGAAAUUCGUCCAUUUACUACGCAAGGUUCUACGCAAGUUCUCCAAGUUAAUUCGUUUCAGCAACCUCAGAAUGAUCCAUAUUCGAACGCCUAUUAUCCAGGGUGGCGUAACCACCCAAAUUUUUCAGGGAGCAACCAAUAAAAACAAGCUAGUUCUAGCCAUCCCUUCCGGCAGCAAAUGUAGCCUUCAAGCUAGCCUAAGAAACCAGCGUUGGAGGACUUAAUUGCUUAGUUUGUACAGACUUCUCAACAAAAUCAUAACAUUAUGCAAGCGUCCAUCACUAAGUUAGAAAUUCAAGUAGGUCAACUCGCUACUAUUGUGCAUGAGAGGGCGCAAGGCACAUUCCCAAGCCAACCCGAAAUUAAUGCUCGAAAUGUUGAACACGUCAAGUCCAUUAGAACUUUGAGAAAUGACAAGCCAUAUGAUAGACGAGAAGAAGCCACAACAAGUGCUGGAAAAGAAUAUGAAGGUAGAGAAGAAACUAAAGGACUACUUCCAGCACCUACCUAAGGCAAACCAGGUGAUUCCGAAAGAAUCGCUAAUGAUGAUCAAAUUGCCUCUAUCAAAGAAAGGAUAUUUUGUGCAAUCUAUACUAUACUCUUCAUACAGUCAAAGAGGUGAGAAGAUAGUAAGGGAUGCCCAGGCCAUCUCAGGCAUAUGAAUAGCUCCGCCCUUGGUCCACCUCAUCUGUCACAUAAGGUGGUAUGAAAAUAUGAUAUAUAUAAAUGUGGUAAGAAUAGCAUUAUUCUAAUGACAUAUCUUACUUCUAUCAAAAUCUUGAGCAUGAGGCUCAAACCCUGAUAUGAUGUUAAUAAUAUAUUUCAGUUUAAUGUCUUGUAGGUUUGAGAAAACUAUUAGUUCGUAUUACCAUGUAAGUCAUGCUAGGAUACUGCUCUAUAAUUUCUGAUCAUAAAGAAAUGAAAAAGGCAAUUUAGGAAUAAGAAUUAUAUGUUUAAAAUUAGCUUACUUAUCACAUAAUAUAAAUAAAAAAAGUUCGAUACAAAGUUUAAGGACAAGAGUUAAAAUUUAAUCAAAAUCUUGAUUUUUAUAAAAUAAAUAAAUAAAUAAAAAUUAGAUCUUAUUGAAGGAUGUUAGUCUAGCUUCCUCUUUUUUUUUUCUUCUUUUUUUUUUUCUAAUCAUGAAUUCUCAAUAAAAUUGUAAUUGACCGGCAUUAUUAUUAGUUGGCGGAUGCCUGUAUAGCAGUGGCGGAGCCAGCAUAGGACCAGUGUGGUCCCAGGCCCCCACUCCAAUUUUUAUUUAUUUAUUUGUAUAAUAUAUAUGAUAUAUAAUAUUAUAAUAUAUUAUAUUAGUUUUAGGAUAUUUAUUUUACAAUAAAAAUAAUAUAUUAGGUUCUUUUUGUCUACAAAUUAACCAUAAAAUUUCUUGAUCUCUCUUUUACUCAUCUCCCUUAAAUCUUCUAGGUUAGUUUAUGAUAUUUGCACUAAAAACUCCUAAAGUUUUAACCUUCCGUUCUCUUUCUCUUUUGUUUAAAGCUUUGUGAAUUUUUUAUUUUCCUCAUUUUUUUAUGUAUGAGUUGGGUACCUUAAUAUUGCGCUUUAUGAACCUUUUUUUUUUUUUUUUUUUAUAAUUUCUUUUCUCUUUUGGAAUAUAAAUUAUCAAAUUUGAAGUCUUUAAUAGUGUUGAUGAUGAUACUAGCUAGUAUUUAACUAAUUUAAAAUAUGAAAUUCAUGAUAAUUAUGAAGAGAAGAGAAGAUUUAUGAAGGGCCCCCUCUAAUGUGAAAUUAUGACUCUGCCACUUCCGUAUGGUACGUAUCUGGAUGAAAAGCAGACAAUAAUAGCUGCACUAUAUAAAAUAUAUAUACAUAUGUAUAUGUUUGUAAUAAGGAAUAAUGAAAGGAGGAAAUAUGGUACGAUACAAGUAGGUGACAAAAUGGCCAGAAAUUUUCAUGGUUGUCUUCCACUGUUAGCGCCAAUACGUUCAAUUGAAGCAACCAAAUGAAUAAAAAUCUGUUCGUAUUCACGAAUUCUUAAUAACGCUGACGCAUUCAUUGAAUAAAAAUCUGUUGGUACAAAACUAAUUGAAUAUUGGAUCAAUUGCAACAUAUGCACAUGUGCAUGCGCAUGGUGUGUUUAGAUUAAAUGACCAGUUUUACUAUUGCACCAAGUUUUGCAAAAGGGCAUGCAAAGUAGGUCGUAUGUUUAACAUGGAAAAAUAGGAGUGGGAAACAGGAUAAAACGUGCAUAUAAUACGGCAAGUCUGGAAAUUUCGGGCGACAACUCAAUUUUUGGAAUAAUUUUUGGAUAUUUCGGAUACACUACGUGGUUGGUGUACCAUCCAAUAAACGAAAGAUAUAUGAAAUAUUUGCAAUGCAGCCCGCCACAUGUUAUAAAAAGAAAUGCAGUAAAUUAGACAACAAUUCCACAUGUCCUAUGUUUAUUGGAUAGUACACCAGCCACGUGGUUUACUCGGAACAUAUAAAAAAUUCUCCAACUUUUGGGCCAAAAUGUCCCACCUUUUAUCUAGUGUCGACACGGAAAUUAGGAGGUGAGGCGAUUUCUUCUCCUAUAUCAGCGAUGUAUCAUCAAUAUUUUAGGAUAGUUUUGAUGUAUCUCGAUAUUUCGUACAAACACAAAAAUGUCCCAAAAUAGAAGAAAGAAGAUGCAAAUUCAAACAUAAUAAACAGUACAGUUGUUUAGAAUCUUUAACUGAGUCAAAUAUAAACCGAACUUAGCCUAACUGAGCACUCAUGUACUAACCCAACCAAUUACUCAAACCAAGUGUUUUUGUAUCAAGAACUAUUGCCUCGAGUUGGAGGGCCCAUGUUAUAUGCGCGCGCAUGCAUGUCUGAUAUUUUCAUCUUUUAUAACAGUGACAGAGGAGAUUCCAUUUUUGGGGAUCCAAUAAUAGAGAUUUAUAACAUGGGAUGCCAACAAUAUAGAUGUUUCAAUAUUUUCCCGACAUGGGAUGCCAACAACAUAGAUGUUUCAAUGUUUCAAUGUUUCAACAUGGAAGCAAUCACGUAAGGAUUAACAUGGCAGGACAUCAGACAUGAGAAACUAAGAAGAGAGAGAGAGAGAGAGAGAGAGAGAGAGAGAGACUUGCGGUUCAAGCAAGAGAAGGCCAUAACACUAUGUAGCAAUAGCACCGUAAAAUAAGAUGCAAAGAAUGAGGGUGGGGGUCGUGUUUUCAAGUACCAAAACACGCAAGGGCAAUUUGGUAAAGUACAUCUGAAAAUAAAUCAAGCAAGCAAAGCCGUAGAUAUCCUCUUCCUGCUACACAUAGUAUUAGCCUACGUAAGGUCAUUACGGCGCCGUUUCCCUUUUUAAUUGGCGUAGUUCAACUCAUCAUCCACCCAAGUUCAUUUCGUUCAAAGCUAUAAAUAACCCCUCAAACCAUUCAACUUUCCCACCACCACUCCUCACUCCUUCAACUCAUUAACCUCUCUCUCUCUCUCUCCUUCAACUCAUUAACCUCUCUCUCUCUCUCUCUCUCUCUCAUUUUCAUCCGCAAAUGGCGAACCGUAGAAGCCUCUUUUCUCUCUCACUUAUCUUUGUGUUCAUGAUCAACUCAGCCAUAGCCACUCCAGUCACAUACAAUGUGGCCAGUUUAGGAGCCAAAGCAGAUGGCAAGACUGACUCCACAAAAGCCUUCCUCUUUGCAUGGGCUAAAGCUUGUGCCUCGAUGAAUCCCGGUGUCAUUUAUGUGCCGGCAGGAACGUUCUUUCUUCGCGAUGUGGUGUUCAGUGGGCCUUGCAAGAACAAUGCCAUCACCUUCCGCAUUGCCGGAACCCUUGUGGCCCCGUCGGAUUACCGGGUCAUCGGUAAUGCAGCUAACUGGAUUUUCUUUCACCAUGUAAACGGGGUUACCAUAUCAGGUGGAAUUCUUGACGGCCAAGGCACGGCCUUGUGGGCUUGCAAGGCCUCUCAUGGCGAGAGUUGUCCCAGCGGAGCAACGGUAAUUAAUUCACUACUUUAAAUAUCAUAUUCAUGACACCAUUAAAUAUCAAAUUCAUGACACCAUUAUUUUGUGCUUCAUUAUUAGUGAGAAUUUUAAAGGUCAACGUACGUACAAUUUGCUUUAUUAUUUGCUACCAAUUGAAUUGAGGGUUUAUAAAAUAAGUUUAAACUCUACAGAACGUAAUCAAAUGGACAUGAUAAAUUGUACCACAAGCUUAGCUUGAUCAAGUAAUUUCGUGUAUAUAUGUGCAGACUUUGGGUUUUUCCGACUCAAACAACAUCGUGGUGAGUGGAUUGGCAUCCCUAAACAGCCAAAUGUUCCACAUAGUCAUCAACGACUGCCAAAAUGUGCAAAUGCAAGGUGUCAGGGUUUCUGCUUCCGGGAACAGCCCUAACACCGAUGGCAUUCAUGUCCAAAUGUCAUCUGGUGUCACAAUCCUCAACUCCAAGAUUGCAACCGGUGACGAUUGUGUCUCAAUUGGCCCCGGAACCUCAAAUUUGUGGAUAGAAGGCGUUGCUUGUGGACCUGGCCAUGGAAUUAGGUACGACAUCAAAAUUAUAUAUUUAUCCAUGAUUGAUCAAACUAGCUAAAUGCAUACUAUUUCAUAAUAUAUGUUAUAAUGUAUAUCUUUUUUCUUCGUUGCUUAAUGACAUUUGAACUUAGGACAUCUUUCAAUAAAGUGGAGAUUAAUUGGUUGCUAGUAGAGAUUCAUUGCCUACAAAAAGUAUAUCUUUCUUUUGGGUGGAUGUUCUAGUUGUAAAUUUAACAUUGCUUUAUUUGAUGGUUCAGCAUUGGAAGUCUAGGCAAGGAGCAAGAAGAGGCCGGUGUACAAAAUGUAACAGUUAAAACGGUUACCUUUACUGGUACUCAGAAUGGUCUAAGAAUCAAGUCAUGGGGGAGGCCAAGCACUGGGUUUGCUAGAAAUAUUCUUUUCCAACAUGCUACAAUGGUCAAUGUCGAAAAUCCUAUUGUCAUAGAUCAACAUUAUUGCCCCGACAACAAAGGGUGCCCUGGUCAGGUAAGAUAUCAUUCUUGCUCUAACGGUCAAUUCCCAGAGUUUAAUAUUACAACUAAAUUUUCUCUUCUUCACUUUCAUAGUGUAACGUUUUUGAUAAAAACGUUGGCAUCGCCAAAUUAUAACUGUCUAAUUUCGAAACAUAUCAAAAGCUUUCUUGGGCUUCCACCUAGAAGAGCCAAUAAUUUUAGACCCAAAGCAAAUCCAAUAACUCCUUCUUCCAUGGGCUUGCUCUCCUACUACUUACAAAGGUCGAGCCUUGCCCAUUGUAACCUUUGUAACUUAUUAAUUUCAUUGUAUGUGCAAUGAGAUUGAGGGUUGUAGCUUAAGUGGUUAACAAUAUUUACUCAUGUAUUCGAAGUUCUAGAUUUAAUUCCCCUCUUUUCCAAUACCAUUUUUAUCAAAAUGACUUCAUCGUAGCUUAGCCAAAAAAGCAUUAAACUUCCCAUUAAGCCGAAUUACCAUGCUAUAAUGCUUGUUCACCUUCUGUUUUAUCAAAAGCUGGAAAUCUGACUUCCUAUUGUUUUUUUUCUUUUGUCAAUUUUGUUUUUCGAUAGGUUUCCGGAGUUCAAAUUAGCGAUGUGACAUACGAAGACAUACACGGUACAUCAGCAACAGAAGUUGCAGUAAAAUUUGAUUGCAGUCCCAAGCACCCUUGCAGCGAGAUCAAAUUGGAGGAUGUGAAGCUUACUUACAAGAACCAAGCAGCUGAGUCUUCAUGUAGCCAUGCAGAUGGAACAACUGAGGGUGUGGUUCAGCCUACAAGUUGUUUGUAGAGUGGAAAAAUAUGAACUGCUUGUAGAAGUAUUGAAAUCCAAAAGUUUGCCCUCCAGUACUAAGGACAAAUGAAAAGUGAAUUAUACGAUUUAUAUAGGAAGAAUGAGCUUGUGUUGUUGGCAGCCUACUUGGGCUUCCCUUGAGCCUGGCCGUUCAAUUAGUUUAGUUUGUUCAAACUCGUCCACUUCGAUGGGUGUUUAUGUUAUGAAUUGUUGUAAGAUUAUGUUCGGGAUACGUUAAAUUUAUAAGAUUAAAUUUUAUGUUGAUGGCUAAUGUGGCAUUUGACAUAGGAUUCAAUAUUCUAUCAAUUUAAUUCACAAUUUUAUUAUAAUCGAAGCACACAUUAAAUAGUAAAAAUUUGGUUCAAGAAACAAAAGGAUUUGAAGUCUCGCAUGAACUUUUUGGUUGGAGCAUUUUCUCAUGUCAAAUUUUACCCGUUAAAAAUUUAUUAUGAUAUUUUAACAUUUCGGUUGGAGUAUUUUUUUCAUGUCAAAUUUGACCCGUUAAAAAUUUACUAUGGUAUUUUAGCAUUUCGGUUGGAGAUGUAUAAAUCUUAAAAAUGCAUUCAAGAUGCAUUUUUGUUUCUUAAGCUUUGAGCUUUAGGUAAUUAACUUUAAAUGUUGUUGGGCACCUUGCACUAGUUGAUUAAAGAAAAAUAGACCCGAAGCAAGAUUCCUUGUAGUUGCCAAUUCGAAGUUUUCUUUAUCGCUACAUACUUACUGGUCUACAAGUUCUCUCUCUAAUACAUAAUUUGACAUAAAUAAAUACAGUGAAGAGUGCAUUGACUAAACAGAAAAAAAAACAAAAAAAGCAGCACGUAAGCAAUUACGUGCAUUUGGUGUAAAAGCUAAAGGCCUCUGAUUUAUGUAAGCAGUUACGGUAAUCAUAUUAUAUUAUAUGUAUCUUAGUUCUGCAAUUGUAACAGGAAUAAUAUUGUUUUGUUAUCCCCAAUCAAUAAUACAAUGAUACGUGAAAAAGUUAUUUAACAUGUCAUUGCGUUAUUAGCUGGGGAUAGCAAACAGUGCUAUCCCCAUUACAUGAAAGUCUUUCUCCUGCAUAUCCUAUUAUACUAUUAUAAAACUCAAUUGGUCAAUCAUAGUGAAAAAAAUAUAGUGAAAGAAAAAAGAAGAAGAAGAAAAUAUCAAUUAAGCCCCUCUUAUAUUGAACACUUCAAUAAUAAAAUAAAAAUUGCAUAUGGAGUAAAGUCAGUCAGUUAAGAUAGUAUGCUAGUUCUUUUGCACCUGAGUUCAAUUUCCUUCCCCGAACAUUUUCAAAUAAAUAAUAAUAAAAUAAAAUGUGAAUUUGAUAGUCAAUGUCGUAGUAAAAUAUGGUUUUUUAGUAUCAAUAUUAAGGAAAGCCAUUGUUCUUUCUAGCAGAAUGCCCGCCACUGCUAGAGAGAGAGAGAGAGAGAGAGCGGAAUGGCAGAAGUGAGUAACAAGCAGGUGAUACCGAGGGAGUAUGUCACUGGCUUUCCCAAAGAGUCAGACUUGUACGUGAAUAGCACUGCUACUAUCAAGUUGAAGCUUUCUGAGGCCCCCGAGCAUGAGGGUUCUUCAAAGAAACUAGUUCUAGUGAAGAAUCUUUACUUGUCCUGCGAUCCCUACCAACGACUAUUUAUGGAAAGAAUCGAAGGCCUCAGCAGCCAAUCCACUUCCUCCUAUACGCCUGGUUCUGUAAGCAAAACCCAUCAUAUAUCUUUUCCUUUCAAUUUCUGUAAACAUAUAUACCAAAUGUUAUGCUCAAAUAUAUAUUAAUUGUUAAACAUUGUUCCCUUAAAAAAAACAAUUUAUUGCAAAAUUGGAAUAUACAAGAGGUAACUCUGCACAAAUAUUAAUGACAAGAUGAGGUGGCUAAAAGCACUGUUAAUGUCUAUCAGCGCGCAAUGAGCACGAAUAACUGUGAUUAUUAAGUAGUAGGAGCUGAUAGUUGUUUUUGUUACCACAUCCUAUGCCACAAAUAUUAAUUAUUACCAAUUAUUCUUCUAGUAAUGCUUGUUUUUUUGUUGAUGGCAACAUUGGGAGGAGGGAAUCAAAUACAAGUUUGAUCAUAUGAUUAAUUUAAUUUUGUUGGUGUAAACGUGCAGCCAAUAUACGGGUAUGGAGUGGCUAAAGUUUUGGACUCUGGGCACCCAGAUUUGAAGGCAGGUGACUUAGUUUGGGGGACUACCUAUUGGGAAGAGUACAGCCGAAUCCCUGAACCCGAAGGCCUGAUCAAAAUCCAGCACACUGAUGUACCUCUAUCCUAUUAUACUGGAAUUCUUGGUAACAAGUCAAACCUAUUUUAGAUCAUGAUGAUAUGUGUUGGUUUAGAUACGUAAGUGUAUUUUUUGUAAUUUCAUUUCAGGUAUGCCUGGUUUGACCGCUUAUGUUGGUUUCUAUGAAAUUUGUUCUCCUAAGAAAGGAGAACAUGUCUUCAUUUCAGCAGCAGCUGGUGCUGUUGGUCAGCUUGUUGGACAAUUUGCAAAAUUAAUGGGUUGUUAUGUUGUUGGAAGUGCUGGCAGUAAGGAAAAGGUACGAACUUGAGAAAUCUUUGAACUUCAAAUUAAUAUUAUCUACACCAUUUUUUCUUGUUUGGGUUGUAUUUUGCUGUUGUUAUUUGGGCCAACUUUGGUGUUGGUUUGGUUUGGGGCCUCUGUUUGUGCGCUGGGACUACAAUGAGUGGAAAGUUAUAAGGGGUAAGUUAUAAGGGGUUCACUUUAUAGCCAUCAGAUCAAUCCAAGGGCUGGGGAGAAUUGAGAUAAAGUUUCACAAUUGGGUAGGUGAGGAACCCAAACCCGAAUUGAAUAUCCAGCACGUCCAAAAAGAAGAAGAAGAGGGAAACACGUUCGAAAAAGAAGAAGAAGAGGCAAGUUCGAAGUUUGAACAGAAAGAACUCAUCUCUCUAAAACCCAGAGGUCUGAGAUACCCAAUGAAGGCAACGGCUAACGACAGUUGAAGGCAACGAUUCGCCACUCCGUUCUCCAGACCCUGAAAAAGUAUUUAUUUGGAGUAGAAGGGGCAAAGGUGUGGAUUCCAAAUCAAUGAAGGGGCGAAGCAGUGGAAGGGGAAGGGGAGAAGCUAUAAUCGUUGGAAGUGGUAGGUUCCAUUUGUGGAGCAAAGAAACAGAAAGACCCCACACAGACACCUUGCAAUAACCAGCAUUUGGUGAGUAAUUUAUGGAAUUUGAGUUUAGGGUUAGAGUAAUGGUUUUCCUCAAUUUGUAGCAUAAAUUUUGUUGGAUUUGGCAUCUCUUCGUUGUGCUUGAGUUGCAUGUUAAUUUUUGCUUAGGUAUAUGUUAAAAAAAGAAUGAAAAUCAAGUCAAUAACAAGUGAAUAACAUGUCAAUAAUGAUAUGAAUAAGAUAAUGGUGUUGAAUUGGAGGAGGCCCUCAAAACCUUCCACAUUUGAAGCAGUGCAUAGUGCAGAUUAAGAAGAGGCGGUAGAAUAUAUAUAUAUAUAUAUAUAUAUAUAUUUUAUGAAGUAAAUAUGAUUUCCUUUGUUACUAAAUUUGCCUGAGAAACAUUUGAACAGAUAAUAAUAAACUCAUGAAUAGAAGUGCAAAGCAUUUGAUGAGUAAUUUAAGGAAUUUGAGUUUAGGGUUAGAGUAAUGGUUUUCCCCAAUUUGUACCAUCAAUGUUGUUGGAUUUGGCAUCUCUUAUUUGUGCUUCAAUUGCAUGUUAAUUUUUGCUUGGGUAUAUGUUAAAAAACGAAUGAAAAUAGAGUCAAUCACAUGUCAAUAACAUCUCAAUAACAUGUCAAUAACAUGUUAGUAAUGAUAUGAAUAAGAUAAUGGUGUUAAAUUGGAGGAGGCGCUCAAAACCUUCCACAUUUGAAGCAGUGCAGAGUGAAGAGUACCUCUCUGGCCCUAGAAUUUAUAUAUUUUGUGAAAUAAAUAUGAUUUCAUUUGUUACUAAAUUUGCCUAUGAGAAAUGAGAACAGAUAAUAAUAAACUCAUGAAUAAAAGUGCAAAGCAUUUGAAAUGAAGGUUGAUCUAUGACGAUUGUGGGUGACUGAAGAAAAAGCUAGAAAGAAAGAAGGAUGUGGCAAUUGCUUAGCAAGCAGAUAGCAGAGUAGAUGCUUUGCUUUGCUUCCUUCCACUAUAUUUCUUAUUUAUUUAUUUUGUGUUGUGUAUGAGAUGACAAUAAUUGUCAUGUGUGUGAAGUGCAGAACUUGCCUACAUUGCACUCACACGAGUAUGGAUCCAUAAAUAAAACACGUGAAAUUGUUUGUAAUUCACAUAAUCAUUGCAUUAACAGGUAUUUGCACAAAAUUUGUCAUAUUGCUUUGAUGAUGUUAAAGCCUAUGAUCAGUAAUCCGUAUGCUCAUGUACUUUGUAAAAUUUGUAAUGUGCCUGGUUGACUAGUUGUGAUUGUGCAAAUACGUGGCAGUAUAUGUGUUCACGUUAUUUCACAUUGUAUUUGAGGAAAUGGGAUCCAACGUGGAGCUGGUAUGGCCAGAGGCAGAGGCAUAUUCGUCACGGGUGAACAACUGCUCACAUGCAAAUUCAUCUCUAGCUGCAAUUCGAGCGAAGUUGAGUGCGGAACAAUUAGAACAAUUCAAGACAUCAUGCUUUGGCCAUCUUCUGAAUAUAGAUAAGAUUCAGUUUAGCGGGCAGAUUGUGCAUGGGGCUGUGUUGCGUAGAGUAGCGGGGCAGGGUGUGAAAGACUUGGAUGGACUGAGUUUCUUAUUAGGGUGUGACGUUGCUCAGUUCACUCGUCAGGAUUUCUGUUUGAUCACAGGGCUUCGUUUUGGGGAAGUGCCUGAAGUUUCCAGUGGAGAGAGUGAUGUAAUCAGACUUCAGAAAAGAUAUUUUAUAGACGAAGGAAUUACAUGCAAUGCUUUAGAAGAAGCAUUUAUGGGGUGCACAGAGGAAGAUGACAUCUACAAGCUAGCUCUUGUUUACUUUGCUGAGUUAGUGGUUUUGGGAAGGGACAAACAUUUGAACAUCAAUCUAAAUUACCUGACCCUUGUAGAGGACUUGGAUGCGUUCAACAGGUAUCCGUGGGGUUCGGUGUCCUUUGACAAAACCCAAGACAGUCUAUUUUCUGCACCAACAAAGUAUGUGAAAAGCUUGCAAAAUGAAGAGGGAAGAGGGAAGGGGAAAAGUAAGGUAACGGGAACAAGCCGGAGAAAUGAGAAGGGCAGGAAGGAUAAGCAUGGUGAAGCGCAAAGGAGUGGCUGGAGUUUUAAAGGUUUCACGUAUGCUUUCCAGGUACAUGGUAAUAAUGUUCAUGUGAGUUAUGUUUUGUUUUUCUUUAAAACAUAAAUAAUGACUUUUGUCCUGUGAAUUGUGUAGAUUUGGGUAUAUGAAUUAAUUCCUAGAAUGGCGGACCUGAAUUACUGCAAGGUUGUUGAUCCGACCGCUGUCCCGCGUAUUUUGCGAUGGAGAACUACUACGUCUGUUCCAGAGAUGAGAAAGUUGAACAAUUAUUUUUUCCAGAGCAAAGAGGUUUGGUUUGCAGCCCUUGGAACUAUUGAUAAGAUUGAAUGAAAUUUUGAAGUAGAAUGAUUUAAUAUGACUGUGGUUUGUAUUCUGAAACAGUCAGUUCAGUUGCGGGCGCUAUGUCCGAGUGAAGAGGAAAUGAGACAGCCAUAUUGGAGUUGGCCACAGGAUCGCCCUGAUGAGACAGCCAUAUUGGAGUUGGCCACAGGAUCGCCCUGCUGUUGUCUCGGCAGAGUCAAUUCCUUCUUUAUGUGGUGAUCUUGAUCAGUUGAACAAGGUGGUAAGCUUGUUGAGGUCCGAGUUGUUUCAAGUAAAGCGGGAAAAAGACGUCCUUCACUUAAAGGUCAUACGGAUGGAAAAACUGUUGGACCAAUGUUUAGGUCCUCAGUUUGAGCAGGAAGUAAGGAGGGACCUAGCUUUACUGAAACAGAGGACGAAGCGUUGUGUCGUCUCACAUCUAUUUAGGGGAUAUCGGGAAUUGGAUGACAUUCAAUGGGAUGAAGGGCCAAGUAACAGAAAUGAGGGAGAGGAAAAGGAAGAUGAAGGGAUUGAAGGGGGUGAAGGGCCAAGUAAUAGAAAUGAGGGAGAGGAAAAGGAAGAGGAGGGGAUUGAAGGAGAGGAAAAGGAAGAGGAGGGGAUUGAAGGGGGUGAAGUGCAAGGAAUACCAAGUGAGGUAGAGGAAGGGCAAAGGAAAAGAAGUGAAGGAGAGCAAGUGCAAGUAAAAAGUAGCAAAGGAGAGGAAGCCCAAAGACAGAGCAGUGAGGGAGAGGAAGUGAAAAGAAAAAGCAGUAAGGGAGAGAAACUGCAAAGGAAAAAAAGGGAGGGCAAGGAAGUGAAAACACAAAGAAGUGAGGAAAAGGAAGUGCAAAGAAACCAAUGUGAGAAAGAAGAUAAUGAAGUUAUGUUGCUUGGGGAUGACAUUGGCGAGAGCACGGAGGGGACACUGCUUGAGUUUACUGUCGGGGACAUUGAUUUGGAUCAACCUACAGCUGUGCUAUCUCAGUUGAACGUGUGGUUGAAUGAUAAAGGUAAAGCUGUGGCACAAGGGGUCCAAUUACGGAAAAGGAAGAGGAUCAUUCCUAUGUGGAAGAUCAUUGAAGGCAUUGAAUUGGUUCCAAAAACUGGGGCACAGACAACCGGACUGAAGAUGUUAGACCCAAUGAAGGCGAUUCCGCAUGAUGAUCUGGUGAAUUUGCUGAAACUUUGUUGGGAAUGGCGCCAGGACCCAAAGUAAGUCCCUUGCAAUUAUAAGAUAGAAGCACGACUGUAUAUAAUUUUUAAUAUACAGUGUUCUAAAACUGUUUUAUAUUCAUAGUUUAGUGAUGCAAUUUGGCAACGUGGAAGCUGAGAUUGAAUUCUUCGCUUCCCUCGUGAAAGCUGAUGGUUGGCUGAAAGGAGAUGUAAGUGUAAUUGAUUAUGCAUUUGUUUUAAUGUAUAUAGAUUAUGAGAUUGACAAGAACAACAUGUUGCAGCACAUUGAGUUGGGGUUGUAUCUCAUCCGGAAGCGACAACAACAGUUUGAGGAAGUAGAAAUAGCGGACUGGACAACGACAGAUGUUUUUUUUAUGGUAUGUCAUCGGCCUUGACCAAGUGCCGUUAAUAAUUACACAUUUUCCAUACAGACAAUAGUGGAGGUGUUUAACCAUUGAUUGUUUUGUAUUUCACAGAAUCACAUUCGAACUUGCUUUGCGGAUAAUAAAAGAAAAAAACAGCAGCUUGGGUGGAAAAUCAGAAAAAGUUUACUAAACGUUGUAAAUGGGAAGGUUCCUCCGUGUGGGAUGGAUUGGCAGAACGUCUAUACGGUGUAUACCCCAGUUAUGUUGACGAAGUACAAGCAUUGGGUGGCUGUAAUGAUUGAUCUGGUAUUGUGUGAAAUCAAAGUGUACGAUUCAAAGGUUUCACUAAUUCCAGAUGACAUCGUAAAGGAAGAACUCGCCCCGCUAUCAAUUAUGCUUCCAAAUCUUCUCAACACCAUCGACUUUUAUGAAGAAGGUGUUUAUGCAAACAAUUGCAUGCGAGAUUGGUGGUGUCCGUGGCCAAUAGAGCGUGUGGAUGUUCCACAACAGUCUAAUGAGUAAGCACAACUUGCAAUUUAAUUUUAUUACUUUCAAUUGUCAAUUACGUUAGAAUGUCAUUAGUUGAAUUGAUCGAGUUCUUGUUUUGCUUCAGAGGCGAUUGUGGCAUGUUUGUGUUAAAGUACAUUGAGCUUAUCAGCGCUCAGCUUUCGUUAGCUAUUUGCACCUCGCACAACAUGCCUUUUUUUCGGUUGAAAUUGGCUGCGGAGAUAACAAGGGGAGAUGCUUACUUCCCAUGAUAUUGGUUGAAGAUGACAAAUGGUACAUGAGAAGGUUUUGGGAAUGUCCAUUCUCAAACUAAUGUAAAUACACAAUAGAGACGUACGUGUCCUUUUCGAAUUCUACCGCUAACUCCUUCAUGACAUUUACAUGUUUGUUAACCAAACUGCAUUGAAUUGGAAUUUUAAGACUGCAUAUGUUAAUUGGGAUUUGAAGAUGGCUUUUUAAGUGUAUUACACCAUUGCAAAGUGAUAUGUCAUUGUUGAUGCAAGCCACCAUUAUUCGCAAUGAGUUGCAUCAUAAUAGGUGUGUAAACAUGCGAAAGGUUUUCGGCAGCUCAGUAGCAUAAAAGUAGAAACAAUUACAAUAUACACAAAAUGAACAACAAUUCACUUGCGUUUGGACAAGCAAUACAGACACAACAGACAAACAAUAUACACAAAAUUGGCCUGCCAUAUACAGACAUACACACAGUAGACAUGCAAUAUACACACAGUAGACAUGCAAUAUACACACAAUAGACAUGCAAUAUACACACAAUACACAUGCAAUAUACACACAAUACUCCCUUAACACACACAAUAGACAUGCCCUUGCCCACAAUAAUGAUGCAAUAUACUUCAGUCCCCAAGUACACCAACCAUAAGGAAGUCGUAUUGAAUAGGAUAUUAAACUUAACAGUUGUUCUUCCUACUAAAAGAAAGAAUAACGUCCGUUUCCCCCCUUCAUUCUUACUUCAGUGAUACUUGUGGCCCCAAUAAACAUCCAAUAUUGGGUCAAGGAUAUUCCAUAUACAUGCAGCAAACUAUCAAUAAACCUUCAAUAAACAUUCAAUAUCGGUUCUAUAACAUGCGAAAUACAUGCAGUUAACAAAUAUUACAAAAUGGGUUUAGGGUCUCAUUGGUGGUGCGUGCAACAUGUCUUGUGCGGAAGAACUUUCACAAUCUUUGAAACCAUGCAGUUAAAUGAUCCUUAAAAGAACAAAUAAAAUGACAAUUGAUACAACUAAUAAAACUAAUACCAAGUCCUUAAUGGACUUCAGCAUGUUCAGCACUCUAGCAUCAUACGUGUCAUCUUGAUGUUCUGCUUCAGCGGAGGUUACAUCAACCCAUUCGAAUCCAUUGCAACUGGUGGCUCCCUAAUUGCAGGCAUCAUAUAUGGAAUAUAAUUCUGUUAGAGUUAGACAUGGGUUUAUUUUGACCCACAUACAUAUUAUUGAAAUUAAAACUUACAUAGGAGGUUAGACACUUCCAGAAUGGCUUCCCUCGAUUUUUGUCAGAUUUUGAAACCCGAAGCACCAUUGUAGCUCCACAAUACUGACACCUCUUUGUUUGAGCAGGAGAUGAAGACGAAGACAUGUUGAAUCUUCUCAGUUGUACCUCUUCUCACUCAGAUCUUCUCACUGAAACCUCUUCGGACUCAUACCUUCUCACUCAUCGUUGUCAUUCAUACCCCUUCACUCAUAACCCUAAACUUGUCACUCAGCUCUCUCUCAUCUCUGCCCAAAUCGAGUUAUAUUUCUUUUUUUUGGGAUCAUUUGGUGGGUUGGUCACGAUCUCGACACCCGUACCGUCGGCAUUGCGACAUCUUUUAGCCCGAAAAGCAAUAUAAACUACUUCACUACCAAAUAUAUUUUCUGAAAAAUGAGGGGACACUGCUUCAAAUUUAUUAUUUUAUAUAUAUUUCAUUAAGGCAACUAGUUGGAUAAGAAUCCGUCAUUAUUGGUUCCAUUUGAAUAACAUUACUAGGGGUAGUUGGGUGUGGGAAAAUGAAAAAGUAUAUGAUGGGACCUUCUGUCACUACUCAGUAAUCCAUCACAUUUGUAUCAAUGAAUUUGAUAGUGGGAUAAUCCCACAAAUGGCUAUGCAAAUAGCCAUUUAAUGAACUUUUUGACUGUCUGACUCUGUAUGCACCGUUAUGACGUUUUCCCUUCUUUUGUCUUCAGUUUUAAUUCACUUGGGUUCAGUUUCUUUAAAAAUGGUCAACUUGGAAAAACCCCAACUGGAAACACCUUUUCAAAACACUAUAAACAGAGGCUAAAACAAAACGUGUACCCCAAAUAUUCUCAUUUAUCCCCUCUGCCACUCCUCAAAUCGUUCCAUUCCAAAAACUUUUCAAUGAAUUCGAAACACUUCACUACAGUCGGAGGAAAGAGAAGGAAGCAUCUCCAUUUCGAUAUGCCCGAAGCCUUCAUCCCGGAGUCCGCUUGGUUUCAAGUGAUGUUAUACGUGGCAACCGAAUCAUCGGAAGAUCUCUUCCGUAUGGCAUCUGUGUGCCCAUUGUUCCAAACUUUGGCAAACAGUCCACAAGUGUGGAACACCAUUUCAAUGGCAAAGUACCCACACCAUCCUAGCUGGUACCGUGCCAGACCUGCGGUCCAGCAUUUCUUGCAACAAUGCAGGGCUUGCGAUAACCCUGAGUCGAUAUUUAGAGAAGCAUUCGAUAUUUUUUUCAGGGCCAGUAAGGUGGAAGCGUUGUAUGGGAUGCGCAUUGCAGCCACGGCAGGCCAUAUGGAAGCGGCAUAUGUAGUUGGACUACUUGGUAUAUCCGGAAUUGGUCAGUCAAAAGAGGAUGCAUUACAAUUCUUGUGUUCUUUGAAUCAACGUAACAACAUUGAUAUGAAAGGAACCAGGGAUGCUUUGACACGAAGAUUAACCGGACCAAGAGUUGCAAGACAUAUCGUAGAUAUAUUUGACUAUGGGAAGAUUAAGUUCAAUCGCUGCAGCACUUGUAACAACAAUGAAUGGUAUUUUGUUAUUCAAGGCUGGCCUAGUGAAGACAAGAUAAAUCCUGCCUUCUAGACUUGUUGCAAUCGAUGCAAAUGGCACCGUGAGAGUAUUUUUUGGUUCAAACUGAUGCGUGAGUAUGUUGUGCGAGGGAAUCAUGUAUUUUUGCAUUAGUUUUAGUACGAAUUUACGGUUUUGAUGCAUUGUGGACUUACUUCUCUUCACUUCUAGGUUGGCUGGCUACGUUGUACAAAUGUUGUUUAAAUGUUGUUUAAAUGUUGGUAUUUUGUCAUAAACCGUUUUAUAUAUAAAUGUAUAAUAUUUAUUAUAUAGCGGAAUUAUUACUUACAUCAUAGACGGCUACGAAUGACAUUUUACUGACACAGAUAUUUUGCUCACCCACCCCAAUAUUCAUAUUUGGUAAACGAAAAGUCAUGCAUGGAGUAAAUAGGUGUCUUUUCACCAAUGCUUGGGAAUGACAUUUUCCCACUUAGCAUAUUCGACAGGAUUUGGUUACACGUUUCUUAAGCAAAAGUUGAACAGUGAAUGACGUUGAAUAAUUUGUUUGUGUGGAAGGAGUACAAUGGAUGACUUGUAUAUUUCCAUAUUAUGUUUGAAAACAUCCCUUCAACCUAAAAAAUAAAAAAAUUAACAAAUUGAAGAACAGAGAAACCGAUGAGCACUACAAAUGGCCUAUUCGCACGGAAAAUAAAAUUGUUUUAAACAAGUUGGACUAAAUAUAAUUAACAAAUGGACAGCCUAAAAAGUAAUAUCAUAAUAAUUAUAAUAAUUGUGGAUUAAUAAUAAUAAAAUACUAAUGUAGCAUAACCAUGAAACAGGGAAUUCAGUAGGAAGAUGAAAUCUCAAUAAGUUCGUUGAAAUGUUCGGAUCGUUUUUCUAAUUUUUGUGUAUUUAGUUCUGAAUUUUCCAAGAAAAAAAGUAAUUAAAUAAUAAUUUAGGGUAAAAUGGGAUGAUGUGGCCAUGUUGACUGACGUACACUUGUGCAAGUACUCAUAAGUGAGGGGCUGAGAUCGCGCCAGGUGUCUUCUUGGAAUUAGGGUUGGCUAUUUUAGUGGAAAAAUCCUUGAAAAUAGGUAAAAAAUAGUAGGAAAUUCCUAUUCUAGGUUGGGAAAAUUACCCGCGCCUCCUUGUGACGUCAUAAAACUAGGAGAACCUAUAAAUCAUCCGUCUCGCAAUGAAAUAAUCCAAAAUGUUUUACAUAACUCACUUCCCUCUUUACCCUAAGUAUUGAUGUUUGUUAACUUGAACUUCAAUAACCUACUUCAACAAGCAUCUCCCGUUAAUGUUGGGAAUAAUUGUCUAAAAUGCGUAACAAUGAAUCGGAGAAUUCAGCAAGGGAGAUGGAGUGUCAAUGAGUUCGUAGCAAUUUUCGGAAAUAAUUUUGAAUUUUUGUGUAUUUAGUUAUGAAUUUUGUAAGACAAAGUAAUAAAAUAAUAAUUUAGGGUAAAAUGGGAGGAUGUGGCCAUGUUGACUGACGUACACUUGUGCAAGUAGUCAAAAGUGCCGGGCUGAGAUCGCGCCAGGUGUCAUCUUCUUUUCAAUUUUGGAUUCUUUUGUUAAAAAAUCUUUGAAACUAAGUAAUAAAUAGUAGGAAAAUCCUAAAAAUGCCCCCAAAAUUACUCCGGCCUACUUGUGACGUCAUAAAACUAGGAGAACCUAUAAAUCAUUCGUCUCGCAAUGAAAUAAUCCAAAUUGUUUUACAUAACUCACUUUCCUCUUAACCCUAAGUAUUGAUGUUUGUUAACUUAAACUUGAAUAACCUACUUCAACAAGCAUCUCCCGUUGAUGUUCGGAAUUAUUUUUAAAAAUGCGUAACAAUGAAUCGGAGAAUUCAGCAAGGGAGAUGGAGUGUGAAUGAGUUCGUAGCAAUUUUCGGAUAAUUUUUUUAAUUUUUGUGUAAUUAGUUCUGAUUUUUGUAAGGAAAAGUAAUAAAAUAAUAAUUUAGGGUAAAAAGGGAGGAUGUGGCCAUAUUGACUGACGUACACUUGUGCAAGUAGUCAUAAGUGACGGGCUGAGAUCGCGCCAGGUGUCCUCUUGCUAUUAUUUUGGCUUUUUUAGUGCAACAAUCUGUGGACAUAGGUAAUAAAUUCUACGAAAAUCCAAAAAAUGCCCGGAAAAUGAGAAAAUGAAAAUUAUUUGUACAUAACUCACUUUCCUCUUAACCCUAAUUCACGUGUAACACGUAUAUUUCGGAUAAUAUUCGAUAUAUAAUUUGUAAUAAUACAAUAUUUAGUUUCACUAUAUACAAUAAUAUGUUUUGUUAUAAUAAUGUACAUAAAUAAUAAUUGCACAUGCUUUGAAGCCAUCAUUGCAACUACGCCUAGAGCUUUCAAGACGUCAGUUCGUAUUCAAUAAGUUGUCCACAUGCAAGUGCACCUACAGUUUUCAACACGUCAGAGGUAUUCAAUAAGUUGUCCACAUGCAACUGCACCUAGAGUUAUUAACACGUCAGAGGUAUUCAAUAAGUUGUCCAUAUGACGCCGCAUUGGGAAUCAGUAAUAUAUUUUCAAUCAUGUCCAAUCACAUAAAAUAAUGGCAUACUUUUUCUCAAUAACCUCACACAAGUGAAGCAAUUUUAAAACCCUUACUGAAUAUUUGUCCUAGUCUAUAUGAGUGAUUAUAUAAUCAGUCUGCAUUUUUUUCACAGUAUAUGUUAACUUUGAGAGGGAUUCCACAAACAUAAAAUAUAAAGAAAGCAAGAAAUAGUAGGAGAUGAACCAGUAGAAAAAACAAUAUAUAAAUGGUACAUAAUAAUUCCAUAACCUUGUCACAAACGCACUCACAAAAGCUUUUCCAUAAACCUUGUCCUAACAUAUAAUAAAUAAAGGCAACAUUGCAUAUGAUGCAACCAUGUCCAAAUCUGAUACGUGAUCAAAAACAAAUGGACAUGGCAGCAACAUAUGACUGAAGUAGAUGGGCUCUUUGCAUCUUGUGUUUUCGUAAUUAAAGACAUCAAAAUAUUAAGGUUUAAAUCUUCCAUAGUAGUUAGCAUCAAAAUAGCUUUGAAGCAGAGUGUAAAGAAAAUUCCAAUUCCACUGAUUUGCCUCUGCUCAAACACGAGAACCAAAAUGGUUACUUCCCUUGCUGAGUAUAUUUGGUGACGUCGGAAACGGUAAUAGAUGAUCAAUCAAACCCAGGUACGACGAGUUUUGCAUAGGAUCGGAAGUAGUCGAAUCCAGCUUGCAUCACACGCUUCUUUGACUCCACUGCAUUAGAUGAGUUCUUGUAUUUUUGAACAGCUACACUCCGAAGUCGUUUGUGUCUACGCUUCAUGCGCUGCAACUUCACCCUAUCCAGAUUGGCCUGCCUUUUGUCAUCUUCAAUUUGGCCUUCAACAAAUUCCAAACGUGCCCUUGCCCUUUGGAUUUCAUCACCAAGUUGAAGAUGCCUCUCCUUCCAAAAAGCAACAACUCUUUCAGACUCAAAACUUCCAACAAAAUGGUCAUUCUGUCUAGGAAUGUGACAUUGCUUGUCUGGUGACUCACUUGCGUGUCGAAGGCGGUCUUUGUUUGGAGGGGUGUUUAUUAUGCUCACAUCAAACUUGGUUAGUAAAUCCAUUCUUUGGGGGGAAUGAGUUUGUUUGCUUGAGAGAGUAUCAGUAGAUGGAGACAGAUUCGGUGGAGGAGUGAGUUUUGUGUGGAAGGAGAAUUUAUAUGAAAGGGGUGAUAGUAAUACCAAGAAAAGGGUUCCCGCCAAAAAAUAUUUGGUUGAGAAUGUAUAAAUUAAUUUUUGGUCUGAUACAAUCUAAGUUGAAUCCUAACUAGUUUGGUUGAGUUAACUAAGUAGAUGUCACUUCCAUUGAGUUUCUUUCAACCACUAUCAGUGGUGUCAGGAGAGUGUGAGGUUGACAUGCUUGAAAAGCAAAACCUGACACCUAUUUUUAAAAAAUUCCAUAAAAAAAGUACAUAUGUUGACUACACACAAGCUUUGGUAUGUUGGUCUAUAAACCUAUGUUCCCUUUCUCAAACGAAAUUGCAUAUGCAAUCCUCAUCCUCCCAAAACAAAGAGGAUUAUUCAAGCAUGUCAACCUCUUCAGGCGCCAACAACACAAUCGAAGAUGACAAAUUGGAGUCGCAGGUUCUAUUUCCACAUUGUACUCGCCGACCCCUUCCUUUUUCAACAUCAUUUGGGAGUGAGGGGGACUCCGAUGAUCCAUUAGAGGCAAUACAUGCAGUCAGUGGCAAGCUGGAUUAUAAUUCCAGACUGAUCAAUUCAUGGCACGAGAAAUGUGUUGAAGACGAGGCAAUUUUGGCUGAUCUUAACAUUAGAGUGAACAAAGCGUUCUCCCAAAAGAACAAGUACUUGAAGCUGAGUCAUAGCAGGAAGCUGAAAGCUGAGGAGUUGGAUACAGUAAUGAAUGAUGAAAUGAAAGGUUGUUUGCUGAACCACAUGCGAUGCGAAGAGCACCAUAGUGAACUGGAGUUGGCAUUCAACGAAGGAUUCGACAAAUUUCGAGCAUUUGCGGCAACUACUCAUACAAGUUAUGAUUGGAACUAUGUGUCCCCUGAUGCUGUGAGAGAGAUACUAGACGAUGGGGGUGACAUGAAUGAGCAUAAGCACGUCAAAGCUGCUCGGAAGAAGCCGACCGAUACGACUAAGUGAUUGCGGCUACCGCUGUUCAGUUGGUUGAGGGUGACCGUGGUAUUGCACAUAUACUCCCUUAAUGUCAUUAUCUAAUUUCAAAUAACACAAAUAUCAGUUUCAUUUGCUUCAUAUAUAAUUAUUGGGACUAUGUAUUGCAAGUCAUCAUGUGUUAUAAUGUCUAACAUUAUAUUUUGCAAAUAUGGAAAUAUUAUUCAAUAAGCAGUCAAUAUCACAGCAAGCCGGGAAUCAGUAAAUGCUCCUUAUCAUGUCCAUUUACAUUAAAGAGCUGGCGUACUAAUGUGUUCAAAAAAAACUGAGACGUGAGUCAUAAGUAACAUAACAUGUGCUAUACAUUGUUUACUGAAUGGUUUAUGGUUUAUUUUUAUAUAAUAAAAUUCCAAAUAUUGCUGAAGAUUUAUUUCGUCUAUAUGACUAGGGAUAUGAGUGGCCAUAAGCAUGUGAGACCUGCUAAGAAGAAGCUGACGAGUACGACCGAGUGAUUGUGGCUACCGUUGUUCAGUUGGUUGGGGAGAUCGUGGUAUUGCUAAGAGGGAGCACAUAAUAUGUUUUGCAAUCAAAUGUUCUUUUGUGUGUGGAAUUAUGAGUAUUUAUGUAAGUUAGUGUACCCUUUAAUAUUUUUCACCUAAGUAUCGAAAUGUAAUUAGCUGCAAUGUUAUGUUUCAUUUUUACACGCUGCUUUCUAUUUGCUCUGUUCCAACAAAGUGCUUCAAGUAUCCUUCAGUUACAAAAGUGUACAAAAUCGUGCCCCUAAUAACCAGUCGUCAAAAGUGGCUACUGCUGGAAAUGAUUACUGGUAAUGGAAACAACAGCUGGCUGCUGGAAAUGCUGCAUUAGCCUGAGGAUUUGAAAAAUGAAUCUCUGUUAAAACAUAAUUCACCCUAAACUGCCCAUUUUACAUGGUAAAGGUCAUUGCUUCUUCACAUAACUACAAAUUUCAUACUUGAUCAAAUGUCUAUGAAAAUUUAUAAAUAGGGAGAAGACGUAAAAUUAACAUGUCUCCAAAUUUCAUGGAAGAAUGAAACCAAGGAAAUUUUCAUUUCAAUUACCAGUGGACAUAGUAAGAGCUCAUCGGUGGACAUGAACAAAAACACAAUAAUAUUCAAAAACUGAAUCUAUAAAACUUCACCUGAUCAUUAAUCUUCAUAACAACCACAUUUCGUCUAAUACAAAUAUAAAUCAUUUAGUUGGUCCGUGCAUCCUGUCAAAAUCGUCGAAUAAUGGGUCACUACGAUGUAUUGGAGUUGAUUCGUCAUUGUUCGACGGUGAUGUCCUGCAUAAACAUCAAACACAAGCACAUAAAAAUUUUACCUUUUCAUAUUUUAGAUGUUAUUACAACUAGUGUUAGCAUCUUACGGUGUGUUCAAGGCUGGGCAUUGUCUUCUAUCAUGACCAAUGUGUCCACACUCCCGACAGUGUCUAAUCCCUCGCUUCAUUGCCUUUUCCUUUGCUCCCGUUACUCCUUUCGACCUUCCUUUGCACCUCACUCUCUUAGGGUCUUUCAUAUAUUGUGUUUGAGAGCUGGACCCUCCAACUUCGUUAUUACUUAGUCCAUCCUUCAGCAACUUUAACUUCACCUGCAAACUUUUUAGAGUCUCUGACAGUAGCUCACAUCCUUCUUCACUCAUUAAUGCAUCCUCAACCACAUCUGAAGCAAGUCGAGACAUUGUACUCCGCUUUAUUAGAAGGCCAGGAUCUGCACAGUCUUUAAUUUCGUUGCCAUUUGCAUCUGACACCAUUCCAGAUUUCGCAGUUUUCUUCCACCUCUUCAAAAUAUAUUUAUCGGGCAUAUAUUCAAUCUGGUCCCUUCUGAACAAUGCUAGGAUGUGCUUGCAAAUAAUUCCAACAAAUUCAAAUCUUUUGCAGCUACACGAUGCGUGGUCAGAAUCUUUGACAUAUACGACUUCUGCCACUCUUGUUUCCCAAUUUUUCCUUUCGCUCACGUUAAAGACAACUUUACAAGCAUCCUCUGUUUUGAGCUCUAGGAAACAUGCUGUACUUUGUAUUAGUUCUUGCUCAAACUUUUGAAACAUUGUCCUUGUGUACAAGGUAGCCAUUUGUUUGUUCAUUGGCAUCGGUAGAAGACAUUGAGCCACUUCAAAUGCAUCUACGUGAUCAGCAACUAACUCUUUUUCACGUUGAUGAGAAAGUGCCCUCUCAAAUCGUAUUAUGAAAUCCAUCAACGAAUUUCUCCUUGAUAUGUAUUGCUUGAAAAAACCAUGAGAACCUUCCGCUCUUUGGCUGCUUGACAUUCCAGCGGCAAAAAAUUGUCGUGCGUAGGCUGGAACCCAAGAUUCCCUUAAAUCAAACAUUGAACUUAGCCAUGGAUGGUCGGUCAAACCAGCCUUUGUAACCACAAUAUUCCAUUUUGCAUCAAACUCAUCCUUAUUGUCAGUAUCCCAUAUGGCUUUCUGAAAUUCACGCCAAUACUCCUUAUAAGCGUCACGUGGUAACUUAACAGAGAACUUUGAUGUGAUGUGCCAUAUGCAAAGUCGAUGAAAUGUACUCGGGAAGGCUAUUGAAAUCGCUAUGGCCAUUGCCGCAUCUUGAUCUGUAAUGAUCGUUUUAGGUUCCCCACCUGGCAUGGCUUUCUUAAACUCCUCAAACAUCCAAACAAACGACUCAGUCGUUUCCUUGCUCAAAAAUGCACAUGCUAAGACAAUUGUUUGACCAUGGUUAUUAACUCCCAACAUUGGUGCAAAUGUCAAGUCGUAUCGAUUCGUGUUGAAUGUGGUAUCGAAUACAACAACAUCUCCAUAAAACCCAUACGCCCGUCUAGAAGUUGCAUCUGCCCAAAAACAUCGACUAAACCUGUCAUGCCCAUCUCCCUCAAUCUUGAAAUAAAAAGCCUCAUUUUUUUUCUGUUCAGCCAUAAAAUACUCGGUCACUAGUUCAACAUCGUGGUUCCUCAGCUUCCCAUUCACACUACAUUCAAGAUUGUAGAUAUCUUUUUUGAUAAAACCGAUUUUAUCCAUUCCUCCGGAUUGCACCUUGAAAAUACUUACCUUAUGAUGAAUGGGAAUAUUAACUGAACCCAACUGUUUUGUGAGUACUUUGUAGAAUCUGAAAUAUGACGGUGUGAUCUCAAUAAAUGCAUUCUUUCUGAGGGUGUCAUCUUAUGAUUGUGUCCCUCUGCAAAAAGAGAUAUGGUAUACUUCUUGCUCCCAUUUGUCUUCACAACCACAAUCUUAGCUUUGCAAUUGCAUCUACUUAUUCCCCGUUGUCUUUUUCUCUCCCGAGUUUCAUCCUUCCUGUAUGCACCUUGUUUGCAACAUACAAAUUCUUUCCUCAAAAUCUCUUUCUUAUUUUUCCCCCAAAAGCUAGAAUGAAGUCGAAUACCAAAGCCAGCAAAGAAUGCAUAUCUAUUAUAGAAAUUGUAAACGAGGUCAAGCGAGUCAAACUUCAUCCCAACUGCUGGUGUUUCCUCAUUUCUUACUUCAGGAAUAUAAACCCUCCCAUUAGCUGUUGCACAUUCAUCACUCUCUGAGCCCCCAGACAUUUUAUCUACGUAUAUUAUUGAUCCACUUCUAUAUUACUGCAUAGCAAUUAUUCAUUCAUUAAUCAGUCAUUACUGCAUCACAACAUAUCAAUGCAUUCCACUUACACAAAACAUUGCCCAAAUUGACACAAAAUACGCAUAGCCUAACUUCCGAUUACACAAAACGCAAGCAAAAUUUCAUAAAAGUUACGUCAUCUCUUGUGAAAUAAUCUGGUCAAAAUAACAUUAGAACCAACAUGUUCAACUAAGAACACAAAUGUAAUUCAAACCACCAAUUACAGAACUUCACCCAAUAUCCUCUCCAACUGCUUACUCCUAAUGUCAUUAAGCCUAAGUUUAGGUUCUUUUACCUACAUUUCAUAAUUUUCCACCCCGACCAACAACAAUGAACUAAGAAUAUUGAAUAUUCAUAAGGAAAUGACACAUUAUUGAUGCCACAAAUGACGAAUUUCCCACCCUCACAAAAGAUAAACCUAACCCAAUAAAAUCAAUCCAGCAAGUGAACUUACCUCUCAAAAUCAAUCGGGAGCUCUGAAGUCAGUCAGCUUGAAAGAAUGUGGUGGACAUUACAGAAGACUCUUUGGUAUUUGAGACUCCAUCUCUACCAAAAUCGAGGAACAACUGCUGCUGCGGCUUCUAGCUACAAAAACAGAUAUGCUACUUUGCUUUCAUCUGGAAUCUUGUCAGCUGAAUGAAAAAGAGAAGGGGUUUUCACUUGAGCCAUAGAAUCAAAACAGGGCAACAGCUAGGUAAGAGCCAUUCUUCGUAAUACCCAGGAUACCAUAGAUCGCAGGCCUCCCAACGAGCUAAUGACAGUCGAGUGACUAUAAGGUUUGGGAGAUUUGGAUCCUUCUAAUUGUGGGUUUGCUUUACAUUCAAAAAGAAAGGAUUGUGUUCUUCAGUUUUUCACAGAGAGGGAAAGAGGGGAACAACUGAAGUUGGGUUUCUAACGGGUUAGAUUUCAACCCGAUUCUACAUGCACCCUCUUUUAAAAACUCACCGUUGGAUGAAAUCCAACGGCUCUUACAUGCCCCUCAAAAACACCCCUUAUAACUUCCCACUCACUAUAGAAGCUCCCCUGUUUGUGUUGUUGAAUUGGGUCUUUUAGUUGUUUUUGUAAACUCUGAUUUAAGUCUAGUUUGGUAUUGCUGUACUUUUAAAAAAAACUACUUCCGCUGUGCUGCUAGAAUACUCAGCUGUAAAAAAAAUUAGUUAUGCUUUUGGUAAACUAUAUUUGAAAAAGUGCUGUGAGUAAUCCAAAUGUUUGGUAAAUGACCAAAAAAAAGUGCUUUUAAUACGUACAAUGACUAAAAAGGACAUGAUGAUGGAACUAUUUGAUUUUUUCUUCAUUCUUUUUCUACUUAAAAAAAACUUCACUACAUAAUUUUUUUUUCUUUUUUUAUUUAUACUAUACACGUGUUCCUCUCUUCUCAAAAAAGUAAAUGCCUUUUGUUAUGUAUUGAAUGCUAACCCAACGACACCAAUUGGAAACCCAACACAGCCCAUCUCUCCACUUCAAUUUUUCUCUUUCUACCAUUUACAAGUUUUUUUUCUUCAUUCCUUCGUCUAACCAAAAAUAUCUCAUGUUUCCCCCAAUUAGUUUUAGUACUUUUGGGUAGGUGAGACUGAAAAGGGGAAAAAUUGUAUGUUGGGUUUAUGUUUUGGUGUUCUUGCAAUGGGAGAUAACAUAGUGGAGAAAGUAGCCAUGGUGAAAAUACAGAUUUCUGGGUUGCAGCCAUGGAGAUUUGAGCUGAUUUACAGUGCUGUAGUGGGGGUAGUUGAAGCCCCCCCAAAGUUGGGACUACUGCAACAGGAUCUUUCCACCCAAAACCAAAAACAAGAACAACAAACUCAGGUGGAACAUGAAACUCAUCACUCUCUCUCUUCCUUCGACUCGGGUUUUCUCUCUUCUUCCUCAAACCUGCGACAAAUAGAAAAACCCCCAAUUUAACAGAGAAAACUCUAGAUGCAGAAAGUUUGAGAAGUAGAAAACCAAAAAACCAUAAUUGUAAUUAAGUUAUUGAUGAAUGGGCAACCUUCUUAGCAAUUAAUUUUUUGAUGUCCACAAUGAGAGUUCCAGCAGCGUCAGAGAGUAGAGAAGGAAAUGAAGGAAAUAGAGUUCACAGAAUGGAGAAGAAAAAAGGGGCAAAAGACCGUCAAUUUGUAAAAUAAGUGAGGGUAUUACGGGAAAGUUAAAAGUUCAUUAAAACAACCGGUUAAAUUUUUUUUGAAGCAGCUUUUAAAAGCUUGGUAGAGACGGCUUCGAAAAAACAGCGAUCAUUGACUGCGAUUUUAAAAAAAAGCAGGAUUCCUGAUGUUUUCCAAACACCCAACUCAUGAAAUUUUUUUAUUAAAGCUGCUUUUUAAGAAAAUUAAACGCUGCCAAACACCACCUUAACCAUUUUCUUUGCGUGUGCCAAAUUUAUAAUUUUGACCAGUGUCAUGCAGGAAAAUGUUUCAUGCUUUGUUAACAGGGGGCUUUCGAUGAGUAUUUUAUUUAGAUGAAAAGUGAUUCAUUCCUUUCCUUUAUGGAUUCAUCUUGUUAGGUUGAUCUAUUGAAGAAUGAGCUUGGAUUUGAUGAGGCUUUUAACUAUAAAGAAGAGGCUGACUUGAAUGCGGCUUUCAAAAGGUGCAUAUGAGUAAUGAUAGAGAGAUUACAUUUAUAAACCCUAGCGGACCAUGAAUAUAAUGAGUCUUAAAUCUAUUAGACAAUUGGUUAGUUGACAGGUGGUAUACAAAGCAGUCUACAAAUGUGAUCUCCCUAUCAUUUUCCGUAAAAUACAUAUUUAUUAUGUUAUACUAGUUUCCUUUAGUAAGAAAAGAAAGGAAAAAAACUAUUAUUAAGAAUUUGUGUGUUGUUAGGGUUCAUCAUUGGGCUGGGCCAACUCAAAAAUUUUGGGUUCGAGCCGAGCCCUCAUGGGCCGAAAUGGGCCAGACUUUUUGUUAAAAAGUCUUUUCAAUCUUUUUGUUACACAUUUCGUUUUUUCAAAAGUGAUGGAUAUAGAGUAUUCUCUUAAACAAUAGUAUAGAUUACUACAUAAUUUAAGAAAACAAAAAUAUAAUAGCCAAACUUUUUUACUAAACCUAGACCAAUAACCAAUAUAUUUAAAAAAUAUUAUACCUAAAAAUGAAUCUUAUGAUGUGCAAUUUGUGCCUUAAUUAACUUAUAUCCCAAAUUAGGAUUGACAUCAUGAAAAUUAAAGCAAUUUGUGCCUUUAAAAUUAAUAAACCCAGAAUAAGCUUUCAAAUUCUUUAUUGAACCGUUAAAUUUGAACUUGACAAAAAAGGGGCACUAAGAGAUAUAGUGCAUAUAUUGCUUGUUUGUUACAAAAUUUUAGACAACAUUGAAAAAAUUAACUUAAUUUAUAACAUGUGUAAACAAAAUAAAAAGUUUAUUAGUUUAUCAUACAUAUUACAUUAUUUUGAUUAAGUAUAAAAUGAGGUUAGGGAAUGCAUCAAUUAAUCUUAAAAAAAUGAAAAGCAUAAGCGGGCGGGCCGAGCGGGCCUAACCAUCUUGCUAGGCUGGACUUUGACCCAUCAAGCCUCGGACUACCCACUUCGGAGCCGCGGGCCAAAUGAUGAUCCCUAUAUGUUGUAUAUGAUGCUUUGAAGCUUGAGCUUUCUUGAGUGAAGGAUAAAUUUUCUUUGUAAUUACCAUACACUUGCCAGGUAUUUCCCUGAAGGCAUUGAUAUUUACUUUGAGAAUGUUGGAGGCAAAACGCUAGACGCAGUGCUCCUCAACAUGAGAGUCCAUGGCCGCAUUGCUGUAUGUGGAAUGAUCUCACAGUACAAUCUUGAUCAAGCAGAAGGGGUAACAAAUUUGAUGCACCUUGUGUAAAAACGUAUCCGCCUCCAUGGAUUUUCGGUAAGAGAUCACUAUCACAUCCAUCCGAAAUUCGUGGAGUUUAUGCUGCCUUACAUUAGGCAAGGAAAGAUUGUUUAUGUGGAAGACAUAGUUGAAGGCCUUGAGAGUGGUCCAAGAGCGCUGGUUGGACUUUUUAAGGGUCUUAACUUUGGAAAACAAGUAGUUGACGUCUCUGCAUGAAUAAGUUGUUUUGUCAAUCGAUUUGGUGUGCUUGUGUUUCUAACCACUAUAACUUUGUUAAGUGGCUCUUUGGUUUUAUUUUUAUGUUUUUGGAUCCUUUUUGGGAUUGCAUAUGUUAAGUGGUGCACUUUGUCAUACAGAAGAUAUUCAUCAAUAAUAAGGGCUAAUUCAGGAUUGUUGUCACUUUUAAAAAAAGAUGCUUCUGUUGUGUUUUGGAAAUAAUAAGCUGUAAAGUAGUUCCAUGCGUGUUAAACAAUAUUUUUAAAGUGUUGUUAGUAUAAAAAGUUAUGUCAAAACCGUUUGGUAAAUUUUGAUAUAAAACUAGUAACUGUUGAUAAUGACUAAAACAUACAUGAUAUGUCGAAAGUGUUACGUGGUAACCAUAUGGUGGUGGUGGCGGUGGUGGUAUAGGUGGAGGUUGAGUUGGUGGUGGUGGUGGAGGUGGAGGUGGUGGUGAGGCGUGCUACGGGCACCAACUUAAAUACUAAUUUAAUGAUACCAACCUAUGUGGCAUAUGACAUGACAAUUUAUGUCAUAUGCCACAUCAUUUUUUUUAUUAGUUAAGUUUUAACAAUUUUUUGUCAGAAUUAACUUAAUUAUUUAGUUUUAAAUAAAUAAAUUCUGCUCCACGCCUCCCUUCCUUCUCGGAUCUACUACCAUGGCCUCCUUCCUCCCCAACUUGUAUGCCCUUAUUAUUACGCACAUUGAAUUUGGCUUUCGGGGUGUGACAUAUUUUUACCAAUCCCAUGAAGCUUUUCUUAUCUUUGAAUGCUUGAGUGCUAACCAUUGUGUGUUUCCCUUGCUUUAGGAAGAUUGCCUCACUCAGCAAGAAUGCAUGGUGAGGUGUUUGUGAAUGGUGCAAAAUCGGUACAUGUACAUGGCCACGACACCGAUAUAUAAAUGAGAAGAGAAUUCCUUGGUCAGUAUCAAUAUUGCGAAACUGUUGCAGCAUUGAAGGGUUGUGUGAACUCCUCGAUUUCAAGCGAAGUCGAAUAUUGCUUGAUGUGGAAGAUGGCUCAAACUAAUAAAAAUGAGGAAAACGGAUCAUACCAACAAAAAUAUGGCAGAUGGCCAGAAUCAAUAUAACCGUGGUCAGAUUUGGGAAGUGAGGCCAUGGCAGAUUCGGAGAGGGAGGGAGGCCAUGGCAGAUCUAUAAAGGAAUGGAGAAACAGAUCACACCUCUUCCCUUCUCCUCAUACCACAACUCAUCAUACACACCCAAUCGAUUUUGAAAUAUUACAUAAAAGUUGUGAUGGCGCUGGAACUGCAGAUUCAGAACGUUUUUUAUAUGCUUCCCACAAGCAGUCAGACAAACCCUUAGAGGACGAGUGACAUCAUUACCUUCUCAACUUACCAAAGAAAGAACUCCUUCCGAAGUGGUAACCACUUGCCGAUGCUCCCAACUACAGAACCAAGUUUCCAUGGACACGUGUCACCUCCACAAUAGUUUGCACAAAGUCCGACAUUGAAACUUUGUGCAAAACUCCCAUUUUCAGGGAACAGUACCUAAGGAAAAGGGGUAACUACUUUUCACAUUUACUGUUACUCUGCCAAAAUUACCACAUAUACUCGCUGACUUAAGUAUUGGAGAGUCUUCGGCAGGUACCACACCAGUGUCCGAAGCUUGACGAUCCCUUCUUCCUUGUUUUCUUAUGCAAGAUCCCUCCAUACCGAAGGUCCACAACCUUCUCCCUUGCUGAAGAUUUAACACUCCUUUAUCUAAGUUAACCCUCCGAAAAAGAGCAUCAACACGCGCAGCACUCAUUAUCUUUCAACAAUCUGAUUAUCUUAUACUAGUUAAUUUAUGGGUUGUUUGAUAACAAUUUCAAUUUUAAUUUUUAGUUUUCAUUUUCAUUUUUUUUGAAAACUGAAAACAUGUUUGGUAUUAGAUUUCGUUUUCAAAUUAAAAAAAAAGUGAAAUCUAGUUUUCAAAAUCACCUUUUUUUUAAAAAACAACUUGGAAGUGUUUUAUGUUUUUUUUUUAUGUUUUUUUUUUUUUUUUUUUUUUUUUUGUGCACUAUUGUUUGUUGGAGUGUUAGUUGACUUUCUUUGCACACCAAGGUUUCCCAUAUUAACUCAUGCAUAGAUUGGAAUUGAUUUCCUACUCUAAAUAGUAUUAGAAGUUAUUAAUUACCUUACUUAGCCUUCAAGGAAUAUUGUAUUAUAAAUAUGGCCUUCUACAAGGAGAAGAAUACACAGAAAAUUCUCACCACAAUUACUCUUUCGUAAUUUUAGCAUUAUUUCAUUCAUAAGUUUCACAUCACCACACAUGAAAUGCACUCCGGUUACCAAAAGUCGGUAUUUGGGACCUCCCAACUUGGACUUGGUCGCUCAAUUCGUGCUUUUGGCCACAAUCCCAAUCCAAACCUCGUCAACUCCAUGUCCAAAGGUCACUAAAAAAUAAUCAUAAUUUUAAAAAAUUCACCAAAAAAUAUUACGAAUUUUUUGUCAUUCCUGCUUUAACUUUACCUUUUGUUUUCAAAUGUUGACCCGUCCCAACCCAACUCUCAAUGCUCGAAGGGUUCUUUCGUGUAGUUAAGAGUUGGGUUUUCCAAGGUAGGUCUAUAUUGAUUCGAACAACUUUGCGGUAUAUCUGUGGGUAAGAUACUGUUCUCAAAGUAGUAAAGGCUGAACUAAAAGGCUAAAUGGGAAAAUGAAUACUUUCUUUUCUCUUCCUCAAGAAACAUACAUCCUCACCACAAGAGAGGGAGAGUUGCUUGGUAUUUUGUUAAAUAAAAUAAAAUAAUUAAUAAUUGAAAAUAGAAAAUGUUUGAAAAGGAUAUUGGGAAUAAAGAGAGAAGAUGCGGGUGUGAGUAAAAUAACAAUAAAAGAAAAUUAAAUCAAAAAUAAAAAAAUAAAAAAAUAAUUAAGUUUUGGGGAGUAGAAAUCGGGAUGGAGGGGGGAGAGAGAGGUUUUUUUUUAAAAAUUUUUUAUUCGUAUUUUAAUCAAUUUUGAUAUUGUUGAGGCCCAAAAAAGUUACGGGAAGCCCAAAGACAUUUAAAGCCCAAUAUAACAUAUAUUCUCAGUCAUGCGUUAAUCCAAGCUGUAAUUCGGAUUUAAUUCAUUAAAUAAAUAUAAAAUAGUGUACAUGUCAUGCUAAACUAAUAAUACAUUUUCCCCAUGCUAAUCACCUAUCAAGCUCACAUGAACCCAAGUCAUGUGAUUUACGGGCUUGCAUGAGGGAUUGUGGUGUGGAAGGUUACGGAGGUCCACAAGGCCCACGGAAGCUCUUGGAUAACAGAGACUUUGGGCUAGCUACUUGAGAGCACCAAAGUCCAAGCCCAUUACUUAGAGUUCUCCAAUGUGGGUGAGCAAAUGAGACAUUUUUCAAGCACUGCCUUUUACCUAUAGGAAAUAGUCAUUUUCCAAAUACCAAGCUUUACCCGUUGGAAACAAGCAUUUUCCAGCACUUCCUAUUACCCAUUGGAAACAAGCAGUUUCCAGUGCUUCCUUUUACCAAUAGGAAAAAAUCUGUUUAUGAUACCUAGCUUUACCUAUUGGAAAAUAGCAUGUCCUAGUCCUCCCUUUUAACCAUUAGAAAUAGGUUGGUUCCAAUACCUCCCUUUACCUAUUGGAAAUAAAGGAAAACCCUCACCCUCUAUAAAUUGGCACUCAUGGCUCAAGCAAAAGGCACCAAUUUUUCUUCAGCCAAUACUUCCUCACUCGGCUACUGCAAGCAUCCCAGCAGCCACCAACCCCCAUAAAGCAUCACCUAGCUCCAAGCUUUUCCUUCCUUCCAAGCUUUAAACACCAUAGCCUUUAAACCUCAAGCUUUUCCUUCCAUCCUCCUUCUCUUGAAACUCUUAAAUCCCCAUAGCCAUAGCCACACACAACAAAUUAUCAACACCAAACUCAAACAUAUCCAACACCAAGCCAAGCACAUGCAUUCUCAUUUGCUAAACUUGUGGGUCUUUAGCUCCUACACUCCAAGCUCUCAUGCUAAGCUCACAUAAUCUCAUACCAACAUCAGCAAGUCAUCUUCAACUCUUCGUCGAGCUGCCGAAAACAUCAACACAAAACAUGCAGCCGUUGGAAGAAGAACAAAGUACUCUCCCGGGACUUGCUUUUCCCUUGGGACACUUUGGGCCUAGUUCUCGCUAACUCAGAUAAAGGAACAACGAAGUCUUCAUUCAUCACUCUAUGGCGACCCAAGAAUCAACAAAGCCCGGAUGAGCCUUCGAACGAAAGUGACCACAUGCAAAGCUCAAGCUUCAAUAGCCAAGCCCAAGCUUUUGGUUCCUAAAAACAUGCUUACGACAGCUGCAACAAACAAUACCUAAGUCACCAUAAGUGAUAUGCCCCAGCGUCUCAAGCACUUUCUAUGCCCUGACAAUUCUAAUGAUCAAGUUUUAGAGUCAAACCAAAAGGCCAUUGGGAUGUCUCAAUUGCCACAAUUCCAUAAUCAAUCAUCAUCAAGCCUCAAGCCUUAUUCAAGAAAUCCAAGCACUAUUCUUUACUCAAGAAGGAAAACAUCUCAGUUCGUGGCAAAUAGAAGGAAAAUACUACGAAGGUACCGGAAGAACCUAAACACUGUCAAGAUGAAGUUUCCUUUACCAAGCAAUCAAAAUUUUUGAAGUGAUGUCAAGCUAUCAAGAAAAAGAGUAAAGUCACUAUGCAACACAACAACCAAAAUAUGCUUGUAGUAACCAAGAUUCAAGCCAAGCAAAAUGUGGAAGAUAAUGAUGCGUUGUAUGAAAUGCUCCUGGAAGAUAACACAAGCCCUAUAGUCAUGCUGCCGGAAGAGUGAACCAUCAUGCCACUAAAUUUGAAAGAGGAGCCCCAUAUCUGAGUACUGGAAGGCAGCGCAGUGGACUCCAAAACUAAGAUCUAGUCCAAGUGACUUAAGGCCUCCAUAUUGCAAUGCUUAUUUGCCAACACCUAUACCGCUUUCAAGCUACUGCAGACACUAUCAUGCUCAAAUCCUUAAGCAUCUCCCAUUGUAUUUUCAUCUUCUAAUCUACCAAAGCCCUCAUGAUUGACCAAGCUAUAUCUUGAUUCAACUCCACCCACUUGCUCUUUACAGCAGCCCAGGCCCAUCUGUAGCUGCCGGAACAAAAAAGCCCCAACGUAAAUGACAAAACCGAAACACUAAAGCACAUCCACCAUGCUAAAUAGCCCAAAAGCUAUAUUAAACCACGACACUUUAGCCAAUACCAAGCGUACAAGCCAAUGCCCAGCAUCCAAGCAUACAAGCCAAAGCUUAGCGUACAAGCCAAUACUAAGCAUACAUGCCAAUGCCAAGCAUACACACCAAUGCCAAGCAUCCAAGCCAAUACCAAGCGUACAAGACAAAGCCAAGCAUACAAGUCAAUACCAAGCAUACAUGCCAAUGCUACGCGUAUACGCCAAUGCCAAGCAUCUAAGCCAAUACCAAGCAUACAAGCCAAAGCCAAGCGUACAAGCCAAUACCAAGCAUAUAUGAGCCCAAGAUCAAGCGUACAUGCCAAUGCCAAGCAUCCAAAUCAAAUACUAAGAAUACAUGUCAACAUCAAGCAUACAUGCCAACACCAAAUAUACACGUAAAAACCAAGGAAGCAAGCACGGAUGUUUCAUGCAUAUUGAAGAACCAGCCAUGUCAUGCCACUGCCAAUUAUUUUGGGCUGAAAUAGAUUAUUGGGCCCAUCUCACUGCCACUUCAUAGCCCCAAUAAUCAAGGGGGCUAAUGUUGAGGCCCAAAAAAGUUACGGGAAGCUCAAAGACAUUCAAAGCCUAAUAUAACCUAUAAUGUCACUCAUGCGUUAAUCCAAGCUGUAAUUUGGAUUUAAUUCAUUAAAUAAAUAUAGAAAUAGUGUACAUGCCAUACCAAAAUAAUAAUACAUUUUUUCCAUGCCAAUCACCUAUCAAGCUCACAUGAACCCAAGUCAUGUGGUUUAUGGGGCUUGCAAGAGGGAUUGUGGUGUGGAAGGUUACGGAGGUCCACAAGGUUCAUGGAAGCUCUUGAAUAAUGGAGACUUUGGGCUAGCUACUUGGGAGCACCAAAGUCCAAGCCCAUUACUUAGAGUUCUCUAAUGUGGGUGAGCAAAUGAGACAUUUUUUAAGCACUUCCUUUUAUCCAUAGGAAAUAGUCAUUUUCCAAAUAUCUAGCUUUACCCGUUGGAAACAAGCCUUUUCCAGCACUUCCUAUUACCCACUGGAAAUAAGCAGUUUCUAUUACUUCCUUUUACCAAUAGGAAAUAAUCUGUUUAUGGUACUAGCUUUACCUGCUGGAAAAUAGUAUGCCCUAGUGCUCCCUUUUAACCAUUAGAAAUAGGUUGGUUCCAGUACCUCCCUUUACCUAUUGGAAAUAAAGGAAAACCCUCACUCUCUAUAAAUUGGCACUCAUGGCUCAAGUAAAAGGCACCAAUUUUUCUUCAGCCAACACUCCCUAACUCAGCUGCUGCAAGCAUCCCAGCAGCCACCAACCCCCAUAAAGCAUCACCUAGCUCCAAGCUUUUCCUUCCUUCCAAGCUUUAAACACCAUAGCCUUCAAACCUCAAGCUUUUCCUUCCAUCAUCUUUCUCUUGAAACUCUUAAAUCCCCAUAGCCAUAGCCACACACAACAAAUUAUCAACACCAAACUCAAACAUAUCCAACACCAAGCCAAGCACAUGCAUUCUCAUUUGCUAAACUUGUGGGUCUUUAGCUCCCACACUCCAAGCUCUCAUGCCAAGCUCAUAUAAUCUCAUACCAACAUCAGCAAGUCAUCUUCAACUCUUCGUCGAGCUGCCGAAAACAUCAACGCAAAACACGCAGCCGAUGGAAGAAGAACAAAGUACUCUCCCGAGACUUGCUUCUCCCUCGGGAUACUUUGGGCCUAGUUCUCGCUAACUCAGACAAAGGGGCAACGAAGUCUUCAUUCAUCACUCUAUGGCGAUCCAAGAAUCAACAAAGCCCGGAUGAGCCUUCGGACGAAAAAGACCCCAACAGAUAUAAAAAUACCAUUUUUCCCCUGCAGUUAACAGAAAAGUUAACAGCCGGACCAUUUGUCCUAACGAAACUGAAGUUGAAGAACUACGGGAACCAUUUUGAAAAUUGAGGUACUCAAAUACAAAUCGGGUCUAAGUUCAGGGAUUAAUAAAACAAUUAACCCCUGAGUUUAUAAUGCUCGAGAGUAUAUAGGAAGAGGACACUCCAACUGGCAGCUAUGGAGGAGGCCAAGACUAGUAGUGUCUAUUCUGUGAAAGCUAACUUUGCUUUCUUAUUAUCCACAACUUAGAUAUAUCAAUGGCUUCUUGCAAGAACCUCAAUUCUUUAUGAACUUUCUGCCCUAAAAUGCUUUAUCUAAUAGCUCAGACAAUGGUGAAAGAAAAAAAAUUGUUGUUGGAAUCUUAGCAUAAUAAUAUUUUCCAGCCAAAAUCAGUUGUUAGAUUCUCCAACAGCACAAUCUCUUUUCGCAAUCACAUACUAGUCAAUCCUACAGAGCAUAAGAUCCUACUUUGAGGGGUGGAAAGGAAUGAAUUCAACUCACCACUAUUAUGACCAAGGCAAUAAUUUUCAUUUCCAUCACAUGAUUCUAGGUGACCCACAACUCCAUACCACCAACCUGCAAUAUAUACAGAAAAUCCUAUCAAGCAAUGGACAAUGGGAAAUUAAUUAAUUUCACCUUUUAUUUAAGUUUCUGCAUAUUAAACGAAUCUACUUUCAUUAUAUAUUUAAGGGAAAUGUAAGCCUUUUUUUUCGUUCUUUACCCUUUUUUUUCCUCACCUUAAUGGGGCUUGAGGAUGUUUGAAUUGUUCGCUAGAACUACUUUCAUUAUCUAUUUGAGGCAUACUUCAUGAACCACAUGGAUUCUAGGAAGUGAUAUAGACCUUUGUUUCUUUCAUUUGAGCCCUUCUAGCCAACCCGUAUCACUUUUAUCCCUUGUUAAUCACCUUGUGCCUUUUAUGUAAGCCUUUUUUUUCGUUCUUUACCCUUUUUUCCUCACCUUAAUCUAUCAUAUGUUACCCUUCUAAGGAGUUUUGUACAGUAUUUUCGUUGUUAAGGGAGAAUUGCACAACAAUCAUGUGGAAAGUAAAGGAUACUAUUUCCAAAAAAAAAACCUAAUUUCAAACCCUUUUCAACUCGAGUUAUUGAGCCCUAUGAGUGUUUUACAUUUAAUUUCGUAAAGCUAUGUAGCUUGGGAGUCAUUGGCCUAACACUCGCUGCAUGGGUUGAUUAGAAAGCUAAUGAAGAGUUAGAAAAAAAAAUUGUGAAAAAUAAAUAAAUUUCAAGACAGUAUCAAUAUGAAGUUGCGUGCUCAAAGUGCAAGAUGUUAUAAUUUUCAUGGAAAGCUCUAUGAAUUCCUUAGAAUUUGUUCAUCCAUAUCUUUUUCUUGUUUCACCCGUCACUCUAAGCCCCAUUACAACCUUAUUUGAAGACUAUUCUGCUAUUUUCUCAAGGCGUGCAAUAUAUGACUGGAAAGAUAAGAUAAAGACCUACAAUUUACAUAUUUUUUCAGAAUUUUCUCGGAGGAGGAAUGAUUCCAAACGUGGGUGCAAAGUAACUAACGUGUUAUCCUAGUCCAAGUAGGAAGAUGAGUCAAUUACUUACCCAUUUUGGAUUUAAGUUUUAAUUAGCUGUUUCUUUAUUUUUGGGCUGUUGUAAAAGGCCAGCUAAGGUAGGAAUAGACGUGUGGCAUUUUAUUUAAGCAUGAGACAACUCCUUUGGGAAGACGCAAAGACUAGGAGAAAUUGGAGACGCCGGAAGAGUACCACAAUUGGCUAAGUUUUAUUGUUUCUUCCUUAUGUUUUUGUUUAUGUCAAAUUCUAUGAUUAUGUGUAACUAAUUUUAUUUUGCUAGGGCAUGAUGUAUGCCUAGUAUGAUAAUCUAGUUUUCUUAUUUUACCUAUCUAUUGAUUGCAGUUUGAUGUUAGAUUCUUAAUCACUGUGCUUAGUACCUUAGUUGAUUACCUUGAUGCUUGAUCACCAUCUAGACUUUUAAUUGAGUUAAUCGGAUGCGAAUUAGAGUAAAUACCAUACUUAAUUUGAGGUUUGCUUCUUGUGAUUAGAAUUUGUAAUUUGUCUAAAGUAAAUACCAUACUCCUAGAAUUUACAUGCUUGUUGGAGGUUUUCACUGAUUUCAAUAUUUUCCCGACAUGUGAUGCCAACAACAUAGAUGUUUCAAUGUUUCACUAUGGAAGCAAUCACGUAAGGAUUAACAUGGCAGGACAUCAGACAUGAGAAACUAAGAAGAGAGAGAGAGAGAGAGAGAGAGACUUGCCAUUCAAGCAAGAGAAGGCCAUAACACUAUAUAGCAAUAGCACCGUAAAAUAAGAUGCAAAGAAUGAGGGGGUCAUGUUUUCAAGUACCAAAACACGCAAGGGCAUUUUGGUAAAGUACAUCUGAAAAUAAAUCAAGGCAAGCAAAGCCGUAGAUAUCCUCUUCCUGCUACACAUAGUAUUAGCCUACGUAAGGUCAUUACGGCGCCGUUUCCCUUUUUAAUUGGCGUAGUUCAACUCAUCAUCCACCCAAGUUCAUUUCGUUCAAAGCUAUAAAUAACCCCUCAAACCAUUCAACUUUCCCACCACCACUCCUCACUCCUUCAACUCAUUAACCUCUCUCUCUCUCUCUCUCUCUCUCUCUCUCUCUCUCAUCCGCAAAUGGCGAACCGUAGAAGCCUCUUUUCUCUCUCACUUAUCUUUGUGUUCAUGAUCAACUCAGCCAUAGCCACUCCAGUCACAUACAAUGUGGCCAGUUUAGGAGCCAAAGCAGAUGGCAAGACUGACUCCACAAAAGCCUUCCUCUCUGCAUGGGCUAAAGCUUGUGCCUCGAUGAAUCCCGGUGUCAUUUAUGUGCCGGCAGGAACGUUCUUUCUUCGCGAUGUGGUGUUCAGUGGGCCUUGCAAGAACAAUGCCAUCACCUUCCGCAUUGCCGGAACCCUUGUGGCCCCGUCGGAUUACCGGGUCAUCGGUAAUGCAGCUAACUGGAUUUUCUUUCACCAUGUAAACGGGGUUACCAUAUCAGGUGGAAUUCUUGACGGCCAAGGCACGGCCUUGUGGGCUUGCAAGGCCUCUCAUGGCGAGAGUUGUCCCAGCGGAGCAACGGUAAUUAAUUCACUACUUUAAAUAUCAUAUUCAUGACACCAUUAAAUAUCAAAUUCAUGACACCAUUAUUUUGUGCUUCAUUAUUAGUGAGAAUUUUAAAGGUCAACGUACGUACAAUUUGCUUUAUUAUUUGCUACCAAUUGAAUUGAGGGUUUAUAAAAUAAGUUCAAACUCCACAGAACGUAAUCAAAUGGACAUGAUAAAUUGUACCACAAGUUUAGCUUGAUCAAGUAAUUUCGUAAUAUGUGCAGACUUUGGGUUUUUCCGACUCAAACAACAUCGUGGUGAGUGGAUUGGCAUCCCUAAACAGCCAAAUGUUCCAUAUAGUCAUCAACGACUGCCAAAAUGUGCAAAUGCAAGGUGUCAGGGUUUCUGCUUCCGGUAAUAGCCCUAACACCGAUGGCAUUCAUGUCCAAAUGUCAUCUGGUGUCACAAUCCUCAACUCCAAGAUUGCAACCGGUGACGAUUGUGUCUCAAUUGGCCCCGGAACCUCAAAUUUGUGGAUAGAAGGCGUUGCUUGUGGACCUGGCCAUGGAAUUAGGUACGACAUCAAAAUUAUAUAUUUAUCCAUGAUUGAUUAAACUAGCUAAAUGCAUACUAUUUCAUAAUAUAUGUUAUAAUGUAUAUCUUUUUUCUUCAUUGCUUAAUGACAUUUGAACUUAGGACAUCUUUCAAUAAAGUGGAGAUUAAUUGAUUGCUAGUAGAGAUUCAUUGCCUACAAAAAGUAUAUCUUUCUUUUGGGUGGAUGUUCUAGUUGUAAAUUUAACAUUGCUUUACUUGAUGGUUCAGCAUUGGAAGUCUAGGCAAGGAGCAAGAAGAGGCCGGUGUACAAAAUGUAACAGUUAAAACGGUUACCUUUAGUGGUACUCAGAAUGGUCUAAGAAUCAAGUCAUGGGGGAGGCCAAGCACUGGGUUUGCUAGAAAUAUUCUUUUCCAACAUGCUACAAUGGUCAAUGUCGAAAAUCCUAUUGUCAUAGAUCAACAUUAUUGCCCCGACAACAAAGGGUGCCCUGGUCAGGUAAGAUAUCAUUCAUGC
Molecule: long non-coding RNA, 53980 nt
Filed under: Prunus persica (peach)
Lineage: Eukaryota; Viridiplantae; Streptophyta; Magnoliopsida; Rosales; Rosaceae
Description: long non-coding RNA (PPER_LNC004544)
Source: RNAcentral